UUUUUUUUUUUUUUUUUUUUUUUGUUUGGCAUCUUGUCUUUCAGAUUCUUAGAAAUGUCAAUCUUCUCUGAUUCCAUCCCUUAACUUCGUCCUUUCUUCUCUGAUUUUCAUUAUGAAAUUGUUAUGUACGACAUCAGUAUUAAAGAAUGAGUUUGUAGGAAAUAGUGAAAUUAAUAUAUGUCAAUUGCGAUGCAACAAUUUGGUCAGUUGUGCAUUGUGUCUUGAAGAUCCAAUCCUUGUUAUUGACUAGAAAGUCAACUUGUUACAGGCCAAAGACUACGGAAGCUGUGUUGCAUCUAAAGUCCAUGAGGUUGAAAGAGACAUAUGUUUGAAAGAGUUUCUUGCACUGAAGAGUUGUAUGCAGCAUACGGUAUAUUGAACUUUAUUGCUAGGGGCUUGUCUCGAUCAUUUUAGACUAAUCUGUUCUACUAUCAUGUUUUACUUUUCCUUGUAGAUCCGGGGAAAGGCUUGAAUCACAAUUAUAUUCUCCUUCUCGUUAGAGGCAUUUAUCAGCACUGCUUGAAGUUUUAACAUGUACGCCUUUCCUUUUUAUUUUCAAAUCCUUGUGAAACAAUUCUGAGUUAUAGUCUGUGAUAUGUUUUUUUAUAGAAACUUUAAGUGACUCAGUCCCAUUAUAAAGUGGGAAAUCUAUUUCAUAACAUUUCAUUCUGGACUACAGUUUGGUUCCUUUGAGAAAUUUGGAAAACUGAAAAGUUUGAAUAUGUCUAGCAGGAUGUCAAUUUCACAGGCAAGUGUUGGUUCUGGUGCUUUAUCACAUGUGUAUAUACAUCAUCCAGCCCUACGUUGCAAUAUUCCUGAAUCCAGGGGGUUGUUCUAUGAUGAUGCCAACAGAUUGCUGAUAUGUACCACAUCUAGUCAGGUGUUUUUUUCUUUUCCUUUGAAAUGUUUUAUAUGAUUUUGUUUCAACCGUAAUUGUUAUCUUCCAUUAGCCUGAUGAUCCAUAUCCUUUUCUGAUUUCUCAAUUUUUUUAUUUAGGUCUUUUCAUGGGAAACAUCCCCCUUUAAUCCAGACGUACCUCCUUCAGUUGAUUCUAUAAAUGAAGGGCCUAUUCUGUCAAUCAGAUUUUCUCUUGAUAAAAAAGCGAUAGCUGUCCAAAGAUCUGAUUGUGAAGUACAGUUGUUUAAUCGAGAGACCAAGAAGAUACUAAACCACAAAUGUAAGGCAGGAUCAGAGAGCAUUCUCGGAUUCUUUUGGAGUGACUCUCCAUUAUGUGAUCUUGCAAUUGUAAAGACCAGGUAAAACUUGCUUUAUUUCUGCAUAUUAUCACUACAGAGAAAUGUUUCCAAUUCUGAGAUUGCUUGCAACUUUUGCAGGUGAAUUUUAAAGACUGAUUUGUCGUAGUUGAGAAUUCUAAUAUCUUGUUUAAACGGGAAUCUAUUGGCUUGUUAAGCUUGCAUUUUAGAAUAGUUGUAUCAUUUGACUUGGUAUUUCUAAGGCAAAUGGCACUUUCAGAAUCUGAUAAUUGGGUUUGCACAUUCCUUUCUCUAUAGAGCAACCUAUACAUAGUUAUUUCUGUCUUCAGCUCGUCUAUUUUAAGAUAUAUUUUCAACAUUUCGUUUAUCAUUUGUCUUUCUCUUACUUUUUUCCACUAAUGAAUUUUUUUUUUUGGUCUCAGUGGCAUGGACUUGUUCGCUUGUGAUUCUGUGUUGAAUUCACUACGUUUGGUGGAAACCAAAAAGGCGAAUGUGAAUUGGUACACCUAUACACAUGAAACUCGAUUGGUUCUUCUUGCAUCAGGAUUGCAAUGCAAGACAUUUAAUGGAUUUCAGGUAACACCUAGAAAAGUACAAUAAAAAAAUGGAUUUUGCUAUGUGAAAGAGCUUUCCAAACUUCAUUUACUUAUGGGUUGCAUCCAGUUAAUUUGAUGUUAUUGGCCUUGAGAUUAUAUGCUAGAGUUUUCAUUCAGUUUUUAUGGUUGAGUUAACAAUUAUAUAACUUAUUGAAUGCUUCUUUCAAACAAUUGUGAUUGGAGCUUUAAAAUAUGAUCCAUUUUCCAGCUUUCCACUGCAGGAGUUGUUCGUUUACCAAGAUUUGAGAUGACCAUGGCUAGAUCUGAAUCAAACAGUAAACCUAUUCUCUCUGCUGGAGAUCUCCACUUAGUCACUGUGUAUGAUUCUUCUCUGUGUUCCUCGUUUCCUCCUAUUUUCUUAUCGCAUUACGUACCUGGAGAGUAAAUCUGUAUCAUUCUCUUUCAGCUAUGGCCGAAUAUAUUGCUUACAAGUGGACAGGGAGGCAAUGCUACUGCAUCUAUACAGGUUUUACCGAGAUGCAGUUGUUCAACAAGUAAGUUUGCUUCUCCUUAGUUCCUGAUAUCUGGUUAUUCAGAUGGUAUUCAGACAAGUCUACUAUAUGUUCAAUAGAGAUCAUGUGUGCAUUAAGAUCAGCAAACUUCUAAAAUUGAAAAGUUGCAAGUUCAUAGGUAAAUCAUUGCACAUGAGUUACUCUAAUUGCAACUGCAAGAGGAGCGUAACCUAUACGUAGUUGAUGCUAAUAUUACUUUUUUCUUUAGUUAUGUUACUAAUUUGGCACUGCAAAACAACUUAUCUUGUGUUCUGGACAUGAGAUCAUUUUUCAAAGUUCUGCUUUUUAUAUGUUCAUUUCAUUGGCUCUUAUUUACAGGGUUCUUUACCAAUAUACUCAAGCACAUUGUCGGUGAAUGUGGUCGAUAAUUUAUUGCUUGUGCACCAAAUCGAUGCAAAGGUUGUCAUCAUCUACGACUUAUUUGUGGAUUCUCGAGCUCCUGUAUCUGCGCCUCUUCCUUUGCUGUGGAGGGGUUACCAAGGCUCUGACACAUCGUCUCAAGCUGCUAACAAAGAAAUUGAGAGCUCAGAAUCAUCUACAAGCAAUGAAAACAUUGUCAUGUAUGAAGAUGGCUGGACCUUUCUUGUUCCAGAUCUUAUUCUGGAUCAGACUAACAAGGUUUUAUGGAAGAUACAUUUGGAUCUUGAGGCAAGUUGGCUUUCAUUGGUUUAUGCAGAUGACAGUUAAUUCUUAGAUAUUUCGCAAAUGUUCAGUAUUUAAUAUUAUGUGCUGUAGGCAAUUUCCGCUAGCAGCUCAGACAGGACGUCUCUUCUAGAAUUCCUGCAGCGAAGGAAGUUGGAAGCAAAUAAGGUCCCAAACUUUCUGUUGAUCUGUGUUUUAGAUAGGAGAUUAAAGUAUUGCUCCAACACAAAGAUAGGAGUUUAAAUAAGCAUGAUGAAGCACCUGUUUGUAGCAGCAAACCGUUAUGUCGAAUAAAUCAUAGACAAUUGAAAAAUAAUCUUGGAACUUUAGUUACGGUUUUUGCGCACUUAGCGAAGGUUAUAUGCAAGUCUAAACUUAGGAAAAAACUAGUGCUUGUUUCCAUAUCUAAUGGUUUGCAACGGUUCAUGACUCUUUUUUUAUGAUUACGUGGAUUUAUAGUGUCUCCAGGAAAGAUGGUUCACUCAAAGUGUUCGGCGUCAUGGUGUAGUAAUCGUGGUUGGAUCUUUUGAUGGUGUUGUUAUAUAAUAUUGUUGAGUAUGUUAUUUCAGGCCAAACAAUUGUGCUUGGGGAUAGCAAGGGAUAUUAUUUUGGAACGUCGACCAGCAACCCAGGUAACUCAGGCAAUCGAUGUACUAGUCACAGCAUAUUCGUACUCGGUUAAAGCCGGUACAUACAAGGAAAUAAAAAACGAAAAGGCCACUGCAUCUACUCCAACCGCUGGUGCAUCUCCUGGUAAACCUUUGAACCUGAAAAUGUUGAUUUAUGCAUGAAUACGCUAAAAGAAUAACAAUCUCUUAACACAUCUUCGCCACUUAUCAACCUUUGAAUUCUGAAGAUAACGAAAGACAUAGGCCGUCUGGAAGCAAUAUUGAUGAAGAUGUUGAAAUGAACCUAUCAUCUGGUUCAAAGGAGAACAUGUUUUGUGCUAAUGAGCAGCAAGAAUCUCAACUUUCUUCACCGGCAAUUUCACCCGAUGAGCUCUACAAGUUUGUAUUUGCUUCUGUUGAGGAAAUGAUGGUUGAGGAAUCAGAGUACCUAGUUGCUAUCAUCACCGAGUUCCUUCGCAGGUAAAUUAACUUUUUUCUUCCGUCUAUUUGUGUUUCCAGACUAAAGAAACGUGGUUUUGCCUUAGAUCUAGUUUCAGUUUACCAAUUCCGCCUUUCUUACUUUGAUUCCAUUGGUGUAGUAUAAGUGCAGAAAAACUCAAAGUGGAUUUGAAUAUCUAUGUGAUGACCAUCAGACUUUUAGCUUACAGUAAGCGAUUUGCAGAACUGUCGCUAUUCACCACAAACAAGGUUUGCUAUUAUUCUUUAUCUGUGAAGACAAAACCUCUAAAGUUUCUUGUUCAGAGUUAAGGCUACAUUUAUGUGCAGAUAAUCGAACCAUCAAAGGAAGUUGCCUUCCAACUUCUCGAGAGUGGUCGCCAAAACCAAAAUAUCCGGGUAAGGAAACUUGGGCUUGAUAUGUUGAGACAACUCUCCUUGCACCAUGAUUACAUCUCUUGCCUUGUGCAAGAUGGAUACUAUCUUGAAGCUCUGCGAUAUGCUCAGAAGCAUAAGGUAUAAUAUCUUAACAGAUCAAAAGUACACUAAAUAUGGUUUUGGUUUGAUUUAUUCGGUGUAUGCAAAUUGCAGGUGACGACUGUGCGAUCGUCGCUGUUCCUAGAAGCAGCAUUCGCGUCGAAUGAUAUGCAGCAUUUGGCUGCAAUUUUGAGGGUCUUGUCGGAAUUGAUUCCUGGGUUUAAAGAAACUUCCGAAUAUUACACUUUUUAUGGCCUUCUCAAUGACACCAGUUCCUCAGUUGGUGUCUGAAGAGAAUCAAUCUGUUACCACAUUCAAGAAAUCUAAAUAGUCUUUUUGGUUCGUAACUGGAGCUUAAUAAAGAAUUGUUGUUGGUAAUAUUCCAAUUUAUGUUCUGGUUCCUCUAAAAAGAAUAAUGACAAGUUUUUUCCUUAAAAUUCUCAAGCCGGUUUUGUUUGGUAAUGCUAAGAUUUUUUGAAUUGGUGGUAUAGUCUGUCAAAUUAAGAAAACUAAAAAGGUUGGUUUUAACGACAGGAAACGUAAAUUAAAUCAAACCCGAAAUGAGAUACAAUUUUACUAAAUGGAUUAAACAUCUCUUUUUGUUUGGUUUGAUUUGAUAUAUUCAACAUAAUUUGUCUAAACACUGUCCUCUCCAAAUUGUUUGUUAAACUUUCAUUUUUUUUGUAGGUCCAAGCUGUGACUAAGACACUUCAAUGUACUAAUUAUCUCUGUAACUCAAUAUUUUUUUCUUCAUUAAGUAGUCUCGUGAAUCUCAAUUGGAUGGCAAUAAAUAAAAACAAAAUCCUUCCCAUCAAACUGCCAAAGUCAAAGUCAAGAUUUUAGACACUUCUUUUAUUCUCUCCAGCUUAAGAAAAAAAAAGAGGAAAAAAAUCGUCACUCUCUCUCCUAACUGUAUCCGUGAAGGCAAAAAAUACGUAUAAACAGAUACGUACAGAAAACGUAAGUAUGUAAGUAUACUCGUCUACCUUUCUCUCUCAGCUGUACCUUUUUAUGAUGGUGUUUUUGUUUACGAGAAAACCAAACCCACACAAUUGAAUUGAAAAUUGCGACUUUCGAUUUAAAACUCUCUUUAACUACAAUCGCUAUCCACGAACAAUCUGAUUGAUUCUCUCUCUCUCUUUAUCUCUUCUCUUACCUUUUCAAUACGAUUUCGGAUUUUGAGCUGCGAUGCUUCUUUGAUUCACUUGAGGUACUCUUUUUCUCUGUCUUCUUAUAGAAGUUUCUAAAAUGCCGUUAGGUUUCCGAGAAAUCCGGUGCUCUUACAUAGUAGCGAUGAUUGGGGUUUUUUGAAUUGACGAUUUCGUGUUAUUGUUGUAGCUUCUCUGCGAUUAUGAUUCUCUGGUUUCAUUUACGUCAUCGCUCAUUCUUUAGCUGUUUUCAUCGCUUUUUGCCCCAAUUUUUUUAAUUGCAACUUUUUUUUUUUUUUUGUGUGUGGCUUCGGCAUGAACUGUGAGAAAAAGCGAGGGUCCUACUGCGUAAGUUUAGGCUUUUAACUUUAGUGUUUAUUGGUCGAAUUCACUUUUAGGCAAUUUUAAUUUCAUGGAAAGCUAGAGACAACCUUAAUGCAAACUGCUUACUUUUUCAUGGUUUUUAGUGUUGUUAGAGCUGACGAAACAAAACUUUCUAUAAUUAGUUGGAUUAGUGAGUUUGGUCAUUUCCUUCAUCUCUCAGCAAGUCAUUUCUUGACAUGUUUGGAACACUCAUUGUUGGACACUGCUUGAGAAAUCUAAUCCCCUAAAUUUGAGUUUGGAGCUCCGUUCAUGAAUAAGUGACGCAAUUUUUGUUGUUGGACACUCUUCCCGAGUAUGGAGGUGUUAAACUUGAGGGUUUAUCACUGUUUAUUGAUUGUUUUUUUUCGUGUCUCUAUUCAGUGUUUUGGAGUUUUGACUACGACUUGUGAUGGCAUCUAGACAAGGAUCAAAGUCGAGAAAAGCAGGGUUAAAGGGUGCUGAUUCUACUGCAUCUUCGACAACCUCGUCUUCGAAGCUUUAUCAAGAGACAUCUAUCGAUGGCCAUAGCUCCCCUGCUUCUUCAUCUGCUCAAAGCAAGCAGCAGUUUUUCUCACCAGAUUCCUUACCACAAAGUGCUCAGCGGUCUAAAGAAAACGUCACAGUGACAGUUCGCUUUCGCCCACUCAGGUUCCUGGUGAUAUGCUUACAUAGGCUUGCAAAAAUUAGGUUGAUGUUUGUUCUGUGUAUUUGACAUACCUUAUCCUUGACGUAGUCCAAGGGAAAUUCGCCAAGGGGAGGAGGUUGCAUGGUAUGCAGAUGGGGAAACAAUCGUGCGAAAUGAGCAUAAUCCGACAAUAGCUUAUGCCUAUGGUUAGUCUUAACAUUUUGAUUAGUGCAAUUGGUUUCCUAAUCAUCGUAAAUAUUGCAUGUGGGCAUUACAUCACUCAAGAAUAACAAACUAAGGAUUAUAGUAUUAUUCUUAUGUGGUAUACAUUUCAACUUCUUGUGAUGUCUUAAAGAUUGAAGAACGUGAUUUAAUUGGAUACUCUUCCUCAGUUGAUGUUUGGAUCUUGCAUGAUGUUUUCUUGAAAUGGUCUUUCUGUCAGUUAAUGAUUUAUUCUCCUUUUUGCAGACCGAGUCUUUGGACCUACAACCACAACACGCAAUGUCUAUGAUAUUGCUGCACACCAUGUUGUUAAUGGGGCUAUGGAGGGGGUAAAUGGUAUGAAUCGAACAGUUUUAAUGGCCAAUCUAGUUUGUAUUAAGAAUUCAAUUUCUAAUUUGACUCAUUUAUGGAAGAGCAUGCAAUUUUCCAUAUUCUUAUGUUGAAAAACUUAGUUCUGCGAUAUUGAUCAUUUAAGCUAUAUCAACAAGGCUUAUCCUAAUUCAAAAGAAUCAUGAAAAGAUACUCAUGAGUGAGAUUUUUGACGUAGCUGAACUAAUGAAUGUUAAAAUCUUCAGACUAAUUUGACUUCAAUGUGCUUACCACUUGAUUUUAAUAUGGUGACAUUGAAUGUUAAUCCAACUACAGGGACGAUUUUUGCAUAUGGAGUGACAAGCAGUGGAAAGACACACACAAUGCAUGUAAGAUCCCUUCAUCUGGAUACUUAUUAUUCUUCAGCUUGUUACAUAAAAGAAAGUAUUUUUGGUAUAUCUUCCUACAAUGUAGUUCAAUGUGUCAUUAAUAAGUCUCAUAUUUAUAUCUUUCGCCUCUGACUAGAUUACUGAGCUGAUAGAUUUGGUUGAUGUUUUUGGUCCAUAUGUCAGGGUGACCAGAGAUCUCCUGGUAUUAUACCACUAGCAGUGAAAGAUGCUUUCAGCAUCAUCCAAGAGGUACUUGUUAGGAUAUUGUUUUUUUCAUAUUCCUUGGCCCAAGUACUAGCGACCUCACAUAUUUAUUUUCUUACAGACUCCUAAUCGAGAAUUUCUUCUGCGUAUUUCCUACAUGGAAAUAUAUAAUGAGGUGCUAUUAUUUACCUACUUUUCUUCUCUGCUCCGUUGUCUAUAGUCAAUUUCAACAGUAGUGGAGUGAUAAGAAUACGCUGCUUUUAAUUUUCCUUAGGUUACUAUCCUUAAGGUUCACCUUAUUUCAGGUUGUCAAUGAUUUGUUGAAUCCAGCAGGACAAAAUUUGAGGAUCAGAGAAGACAAGCAGGUGUGUUUCAGCUUCAGGUUCUCUUUGUUUCUUUUCUGUUGGAAACAUGCGUAGUGCUGCUCUCACUGACUUGUAAUAUCUUUGUUGUGAUUACAGUGGUCAUAGAAUCCCAAAACCUUCGCAUCAUAUUUUUAUUUAUUAGGAAACCAUUUUAAGCCGCCUGAAAAAAAUACUGGUUCCAUUUAUCUUGUGAAAUUGAUCUCUAUGGGGACUCUGCUAUGACAAUGUUAUAUGUGGCCCUUCGUUUCAUUGCGAUGUUCUGGGUCACAUUGCUUAUUCAAGCACCCUUAGUUGAUCCUUUUAAUAAUCAUUUGAACUAAGUAUUUUAUAAUGAACUUGUCAUGACUUUUAUUGCUACAAGUGUCUUUCUCCAAGUUAUUCAAUUGAACUCAUCUUUGUUAUUGACUCUAGGGAACCUUUGUCGAAGGGAUUAAAGAAGAAGUUGUUUUAUCCCCUGCUCAUGCGCUUUCUCUUAUCGCAGCUGGAGAAGGUAUGUGGUGCUUCCACUUUCCCUUUUUUUCAAAGAAUAGGUUUAUUUACUUGACAACCAUACAACUCCAGAAAAGACUGUUGCAGUCGUUGUAUAUUUAUUAAAAAAUUAUUUAUCAGAAAGUGUACUCCUCUACCUGCUUGAGGCUAUACUUAUCGUUGAAAAGUGUGUUUUUGUUUUUCUUUAUUAUGAUAGAGUAAUUCUCUCUUUCUUUUUUCCAGUAAAUCCCUUUCAUUCUUAAACCUUGACACGUUAUAGUUAAAUCUCGUCAUCGUUUGUUUAUCAUUUAACGCAUAUUGAUAGAGAUCUUGUCCUCAUGACAGAGCAACGACAUGUUGGAUCUACAAAUUUUAAUUUGCUCAGCAGCCGGAGCCAUACAAUAUUUACGUUGGUAUGUUAAUAUUCUCUUUGAAAUAUUAAAAACUGGUAUCUUUGUGCAGUUGCUAUAUCAUUUCAUCACGUGAUUACAUUUGUGAUAUGGAUGGAUGCACACAAAAUCUAAGUUUCUUUUGUAUUACUAUUAGGUUAAAAGGUAAAAGUCAGUAGUUCUUUUAUUCCUACAAUCGUCUUAGUGCUUUAAAAUGGAAUACUGAAGAACUAUACUUUUUUUUUCAGCACAAGUUGUGUAUUAUGUUCUUCUUCCAAAUGUUUUCUUCUGUUCAAGGAAUUACUGUUCUCCUUUAUUUUAAUCCUAGUUGUUUAGUCACAUUAACUCAUAUAGCUGUACUGUUUCUGAAAGAUGAUCAACUAAUUUGGAUGCAGACGAUAGAAAGUAGUCCCUUAGGCGACAAGAGUAAAGGUGAAGCGGUACACCUCUCACAACUGGUAGGUUCAUCUUGUAUCCAGGGAUUUACUGGUUAUGAUCAAUCCUUUUAAUAUGUUUAUUAGUUGCAUCUUCUGACAGUUAAAAAGGUGAACAUCUGAUAUUAACUACCCAUAAUUUCUCUCAUAUCUGCAGAACCUCGUUGAUCUGGCAGGUUCCGAGAGUUCAAAGGUUGAAACUAGUGGUGUAAGACGCAAAGAAGGAUCAUAUAUAAAUAAAAGUUUGUUGACGUUAGGGACUGUAAGUUUUUUCCUACCACAGUUUUCACUUAGUUUUUUUGGUGGAAACAGUUUUCACUUAGUUAACAAUAGGUUUUGUGGUUCAGUUAAAAUCCAAGGACUUCUUUGACAUUUUCUUUAAAAGAAGGUCUGAUAAUAGGAUUUUUUUUUUAUGUUGUAUAAAUAUUAAGCACACUUUCUACCCCUCUAUAUUUUGAGACUUGCAGAUCAAACAUAUACUUACAUACAUAACUUGAGGUCUUUUACAGUUUAGACUUUUAGUACUUAGCCUGUUCAUCUGUAGAAUCACCUUUCCGCAUUUGCAUGAUUUUGCUUGCUACUCUUAUCUCCAAUCUGUUCUUGUCCAAACCUUACAAUUAAACAGUUGUCUAGUCUUGUUUUUAUCUUGGUUUUUGCCUAUCUGGUCAUGUUUUAAGUAUUCUCCUCUGGGCUGAAUUUUGUUAGUUCUGUUGUAAAAUUAUAGGUGAUAUCAAAGCUUACGGAUGUGAGGGCUUCACAUGUACCAUACAGAGACUCUAAGUUAACAAGGAUCCUUCAAUCCUCAUUGAGUGGUCAUGACCGAGUAUCUGUAAGUCUUGUUUAAGCUGUUCCCAAUCCUCGUGCUACAAUAAGUAUAAAAUGCACAACGUGAUUAUUAGCACAUAUCUUGAUAGUAGUAUACUUUACUGAUUAGUUUUUCUCUCUGGAUAUGGUAGCUCAUUUGUACAGUCACUCCUGCAUCAAGCAGUUCAGAAGAAACACACAACACAUUGAAAUUUGCUCAUCGUGCAAAGCAUAUUGAGAUUCAAGCUGAACAAAACAAGGUUUUCCACGCAUAUCUUCUUUCAGCUCUUAUCUUUUGUACUGAAUGCCUUUCUUGGUUUCUAACACUAUAAAACUGUAGAUAAUUGAUGAGAAAUCAUUAAUCAAGAAGUACCAACAUGAGAUUCGUCAACUGAAGGAAGAGUUGGAACAGCUUAAACAGGAAAUUGUACCAGUUCCUCAAUUGAAGGAUAUUGGUGCAGAUGAUAUUGUUCUCCUGAAGCAGAAGGUAUGCUCGAAAUACUUGACUUUUCUAAGCCUGGCAAAAUUGAUUCGUAUUGUUUUAUUCUUCCCUAUUUAGGCUUGUGUAGUGGAGUUAGGGAUGGUUUUCUGUGUAGAGCUGCAAUCUUAUGAGUUAUGAAGCUUUUCUUUUGUCUUGCAUGCUCUUCUUUCCUCCCUAACAUGCAUUUGCUAUUUGCGACCACAUAGGAUAUCAGUGAUGAAAUUUAAUACGAAUUUAUACAGUUGAUACUCAAUAGCUUGUAAUAUUCCUCACCUUAAAAUAUUGUAACAUGAUUAGCAUAUUUAGGUCAAGAUUUAAAAUAUGUUUUUUACUUCUUUUGGUAAACUAUGAACAAAACUACUAGCUAUUCUCUUUUCAUUAGAGAAAUAUUAAAAGUUUUGUUCGGCACUGAUGUUUUCUGAGAACAAUUUGUCAGAAAAUGGCAGAUAGAGGUCAUUCUGGACGCAAAAUGCGACACUUUUCAAUACUACCACUGUUUCCGUCCAUUUUAUUUAUAUUCGAUUAGACAAGUGUGAGGACGUUUUAUGUCAUUGCCUUUUGGUUUACAAUCAAGCAUUUGAGAGAAUCUGAAGUAACCUGGUUUUGUCGUUUUUUUGGCGAUAUAACGUGAUGAUAAAAGCUAGAAGAUGGUCAAGUCAAGCUGCAAUCCAGACUCGAAGAAGAGGAAGAAGCUAAAGCAGCUCUCUUGAGUCGAAUCCAACGAUUGACGAAAUUAAUUUUGGUGUCGACUAAAAAUCCCCAAGCAUCUCGAUUACCUCAUCGUUUUAAUCCUCGGAGGAGACAUUCAUUUGGGGAAGAAGAGGUAGAACCACUGAUUUAAGCUGGAUAAUAUACAAAUUCUUCCAUGUUUUCUUUGGCUAAUCUUGGUUGAUGAUGUAUGUUCAGCUUGCUUACCUACCAUACAAGAGGCGGGACAUGAUGGACGAUGAGCAACUUGACCUGUAUGUUUCUGUGGAGGGAAAUCAUGAGAUUAAAGAUAAUGCGUAUAGAGAAGAAAAAAAGACCCGGAAGCACGGGUUGUUAAAUUGGUUAAAGCCUAAGGUAUACAAAUGAUUGAUUUUUUUAUAUAGCAUUGAAAAUUAUGUUGUGGGCUAUUCUUGUUCAUUUCAAAACUGCAUCUAGCAGCUAUAGGUUUGUACUGUCGUAAAUGUUUCAUGCACUCACUAUAGAUUUCUGGAACUCAAAUCAACUUCAAAGAAUAAUGCUAAUGGGAAGUAAAGAGUCCUAAUCGUACGGGCUUAUGUCCUCUUAGAUGCAGUUCUUCUUUGAUUUGUUGGUGCCUCUCUUGUCUCCCUUUUUUAAUCCAUGCGUACUUUUUCCUAUCAGAAAAGAGAUCACAGUUCAAGUGCCAGCGACCAGUCAAGUGUGGUCAAAUCUAACAGCACACCAUCAACUCCUCAAGGGGGAGGCAGUCAUCUGCACACAGAAUCAAGACUUUCAGAAGGCUCGCCUUUGAUGGAACAACUCUCAGAGCCUAGGGAAGACAGAGAAGCUUUAGAAGACAUUUCCCAUGAAAUGGAGAUUCCAGAGGUACAUAAGAGAUAUUUUCAUUAUCAAAUCCAGUUCCUGCUCUCUGUUUUACAAUACUUUUUUGCACUUGUUCCCAGACUAGCAAUAAAAUGAGCGAUGAGUUGGAUCUCUUGAGGGAACAGAAAAAGAUUUUAUCUGAAGAGGCGGCACUGCAAUUAAGUUCUUUAAAACGGUUGUCAGAUGAAGCUACAAAGUCCCCUCAAAAUGAGGAGAUUAAAGUAACAUAAUCACCCUGUUCAUGAUAUCUAUCUAGUUGUUUUACUCUAGUAAAAUAUUGACCUUCUCGGUUCUCGUUGUUACUUAGGGGGAAAUUAAAGUACUCAAUGACGACAUCAAAGCAAAGAAUGACCAGAUUGCUACGUUGGAGAAACAAAUAUUGGAUUUUGUUAUGACAUCUCAUGAGGCAUUGGAUAAAUCUGAUAUCAUGCAGGUAGGUUCCAAUUGUCAAGUAUUAUGCAUGACGUGUUUUUGUCUGCCAUUCAUUUCUCAAGUGAUUUCUCUUUAUCUUCAGGCAGUUGCUGAGCUGAGGGAUCAACUUAAUGAGAAAUCUUUUAAACUCGAGGUGAUCGAAUUGUUUAUGUUUAUGCAAUUUUUCUUCCUCUAUUGCUGCAGGACUUAGAGAUGAUUUGCUAUUGCCUGGAUAAUAUUAUUCCUUUUAGCUCAAUAUAAUCUCUCCUCAUACCUGAAUAAAGUUGCUUCUGUGUAUAUUAUAUAAUACCAGUCUUCAAAACGCCAAACUAUACUAACAAUGAAGCUACGCGGUUUUCUUAUUCUUCAUCGUGUUUACAGGUUAAAGCUGCAGAUAAUCGCAUCAUUCAGGAAACACUCAAUCAAAAGGUUAGUAAAACUUUUGACAUCGACUAUAUCCCCAAUUUCAUUUGUCUCUGGAAAAGCUUUGAGACUAGGCUUAUAAUGUUUAAAAGAAUUCAACAACCGAUGAAGUAUAUUUUCUGCAGACAUGUGAAUGUGAAGUGUUGCAAGAAGAAGUUGCAAAUCUAAAGCAGCAGCUCUCCGAUGCCCUGGAACUAGCACAGGUCUCUCUUUAUACAUUUUGUAAAAUUGUUGUUUGCAAAAACCAUGCUUUUCACCGAUCUUCGUCUUAUAAGCCACAUGAUGCUUAAACAAACUGUAUUUACGUUCUGACAUGAAAGGGAACUAAGAUUGAAGAGCUGAAACAAAAAGCCAAGGAACUAAGUGAAUCAAAGGAGCAAUUAGAACUCAGAAACAGGAAACUCGCAGAAGAGAGUUCAUAUGCAAAAGGUCUUGCAUCGGCAGCUGCAGUUGAGCUUAAGGCAUUAUCCGAAGAAGUUGCAAAGCUUAUGUAUCAAAACGAGAGACUAGCAGCUGAGCUGGCAACACAAAAGAGCCCGGUCUCACAACGAAAUAAGACAGGAACAACAACAAAUGUAAGGAACAAUGGAAGAAGAGAGAGUCUUGCAAAGAGGCAAGAACAUGACAGCCCCUCAAUGGAGCUGAAGAGAGAAGUGAGGUUGAGUAAGGAACGUGAGCUAUCGUAUGAAGCUGCACUUGUUGAAAAAGAUCAAAGAGAAGCUGAGCUUGAAAGGAUAUUAGAAGAAACGAAACAGAGAGAAGCAUAUCUGGAGAAUGAGCUAGCUAAUAUGUGGGUUCUUGUUUCUAAGUUGAGAAGAUCUCAAGGAGCUGAUUCUGAAAUCUCUGAUUCUAUAUCAGAGACACGACAAACGGAACAAACGGAAGGAUCAUUUUGAGAUUGGGAUAAAAAUACAACAUAAGUAGGAUAUCUUUGUGCAGUGGUUCCAGAGAGUUUGUGUUUGGUAUUUUGCUUGUAAGUCUCGAUUUCUUCGGUUAUUGGAACUUUCUUUUAUAACUUUGUUGAUAAUUUUGUAAAGAAAGAUUCAGUGAAGAGAGAACUAUUAUGUCUCUUUAAAUUUAACUUGCUUAGAUCGAAUCAGAAUCCAAAAUCAUCAGAUGAUUUCAAAACGUGAAACUGUUUGUUAUUAUGAAAAAUAAUCAGAUUUUUCCCGAAACCUCAACAGAUGAUGCCUAGUACGUAAUACAGUACAGUGAUUGGGGAGGAUCAACUCAUUGGCAUUUUCUCUCAUGACAUUUGAUUUACUAUACAUACUAGGUACUUUUUUCAUAAUAAAAUCGGGAUGAUAAUAAUUUCUCAAGUGUUUCUUAUUAUGAAAAAACCAUCAGAUUGUUCAAAAAUUUCAACAGAAACAAAAAAAAAAAUCAAAAGGAGUGAUGAUCAUACUGAUUUUGAUUCAGUUGGUCUUAGGAUCAGGCAUGGGGAACAAACCACCAGCACCAGCAGCUCCUCGCGGCGGAGAAAACCCUAGAAAUUUCUGUAGAUUGGUUCUGAUACUAAUUGAACACAGCAGAUAAAGAAAUGCCAUGGAGCAAUCCGUCGGAUCAUCGCCUUUCAAUCCCCUGUGACUCAUCUUCUUCACUAUCGUUAUCGGAUGGAACGGAAGCUUCGCGACUACUUUACCUUCGAAGAGUGAAUUGAGUAAUCCGAAGACGACGAAGAGAACCAGAGCCACAACGGCGCCGGAUUUGAACUUGAAGAGUGACAGAUCUCGGCUCGAUUCCUUUAAGCUGGUUUCAACGCGAUCGAUCUUCUUUGUCUUUGAUUUCUUUAUGGAUAGCUUCGAAGAAGGAUUCUCUGUCUUCAUCGUCUCGAGUUUCUUCGCGGCCUUGUCAAUGGAGUAUUUCAAGGAUUUGUAGGAGCUGGUACGGUAGAUUAAGAUCCAUGAGAUGGCUUCACAGACCAACGCUGUGCAGAUGGAGAUUCCGACGACGGUUAAGCUAUCAGCGUAUUUGAAAGAAGCGAAGAGCGGUAUCGUAGUCGCCAUUGUUGCUCAAAACUUGCAGAUGACUUCUGUGAUUAGGAAUUUAGAAAGUCAAAAGAGAGCCAAAGAAUAAAUAAAUACAUUUUCGGGGAGCAUAAAAAUACUUCUCUAAUUUCCAAAAUUGCCCCAAUUGUUUUUUUCUUUUAUCAACAAAAACCCAAAUCACAAUCUUUGGCAAAAUAGUUUAUACACACAAAGAGUUAAUAUUACAUGCAGAUGUCUAUUUACAAAGAAGAGGAAAAAAGAAGUUUUGAGUUGAAGUUAGAGAGGCUUAAGAGUGUUCUUAGGAGUACUUAUCCAUGGAGUGUCUGCAAUAGCAAAUCUCCACAAGGCAUUGACAUGUUCAGGCAAUGCGUAAUCUAUUCCAACGCGAGGGCCAACCAUUACUUUCUCCACAUAUUCUCCUCCAUCAAGAAGCUCCAGUCCUCCUGUGUCCAUAUAUUUUUAGUACAAAGCUUAAACACUCUUGAAAAGAUAGAGUCUUACUUCGUUAACUAGUUUGGUCUGUGAACUACUAACCAGGAGAAUAAAGUGGAUGAUGAGACCACUCUGUUGAGAGUCCUAGCGCUUGACCAACCUGCGAGUGGCACAGAUAAAAAGCUUAUAAUGCACGAGGACCGACUCAAAUUUUAAUUUGAGAUCUAAUCAUCGGAGACACUUUCAACUUUUUUCUUAUCUAUUGAAGAACAUAUGAAAUGCAAUAUCUGCAUUGCGAAUCUCUAACCUUUCCUGGUCCAUUUAGAAGAACAGGUUUGUCGGUUUUCAGGCCACGACGCUCCUGUAUAGUCUCCAUUUCUGCAAUGCCAUUGAUGUAUAAAUAAAUAGAAACAUGCAAAAGAUAUGAAAAUUCAACAUUUGCGAUAGGCCAACAACCCAUACAACUUUGAGCCUCAAACAAGAGAGAGUGAAAUGAGCAGAGUUUUGGUGCCGAUGUGAACAGAUUACUUACCGGAAACAGGAGAACAAGACCGUAUCAAAACAGCAGCUCCAACUCCUUCCUUAUCAGCAACAAUAUUGAGCAUCAUAUGGAGACCAUAACAUAGAUAAACAUAAGCAUGUCCUCCUGGUCCAAACUUAAAAAAUAAACCACAUUUCAGAGAAAGACACCAAUUUGUAUGUAACUAAAAAUGCUAACAAGGAAAAAGAAGAAACUCACCACUGGUGCGGUCCGUGGGGUAACACCAAAUCGUCCAUGGCAAGCUGAAUCAUUUGGUCUAUAAGCUUCUACCUACCAAAGGAGGAACAAGUUUAGAGAGCUGCAAAUUACAAUCGGUAGUAUUUCAAGAAGCACCAAUAUCAGAAAUGGUGUGUAUUAGCUUAAUUAAGCACCAACGAUCUAAUCAGAGUAUUACACAAUCCCAAAGUAAAACCCUUUCUCAGGAAACAAAAAAGAAAAGUGUCUGACCUCUGUAAUUCGCAGCACAACAUUGUCUCUCCUUAGGAACUUGCCAAGCAAACGUGGCGCAAGAUCAAGCGCGUCGAUUUGAAAGAACUCCAGAGGCAUUAACUUCAUCUCGGACUCGGAGGUGGAGCGGGUCAGUGGGUAAUCGGGUCUGACCCGAGCCGCUCGAGUCUUGGAACAGUUGGUCUUUCGUGUCCGUAGGACUACUCGGGUUGUAACAUUGAUCUCCGAUUCCUGAUCAAUCCGCUUCGAUCGACGAGCCGGCGUUUUCAUUGUCGAACCCGAAGCAAAAAGAUUUGACUUAUCAAAAAGUAUGCGACGUUGACCUUUUUCUUUGUUAUAUUUGGCGGGUGAUGGUUUAUGAUGCCAAAGGUGGUCGUGCCAACUUUGUCAUAGUCAUAAAACUCAUGCUUGUUCCAAAAAAAAAACAAGAAGGUCAUCCUUGUUAAUUUUUCUUUAACACCAAGACUCAUGGUUAUUUUAUUUGGCACCAAUGUCAUAUUGUUGCAAUGAAGAGAUUUACUAGGGAAUAUAGUUGGCAUUUAGCUUAAUACUAGAUCGUACCCGUGCUGUAUAGCACGAGAUUUAAUAUUUUUUAUGAAUUAAAUUAUAUAUUUUGUUCGAAAAAAUAAGAAAUAAUAUAGUAUAAUAGUAUAGUAUAAAAGGGAAUAUAUCAUAAUAUUUUAUUUUUAUUACUAUUUGGAUAUAAUGUUAUAUAUUUCAUUUGAUUAUGGUUGUAUAUUUUGUUUGUAGAAUUAAAUAAUAGUAUAUGAUAAAUUUUAAAUCUAUAUUCUAUAUUAUAUUGGGUUAUUUUAUUGUAGGAAUUAAAUGUUGUUUAAUCGUAACUUGGUUGAAAAACAUGACUUGAUAAUAAAGAAGGAGAGAAUAUUAUAUUGUAUAUCAAAUAUAUUUAGCUGCAUUAGAUUUGUAUUUUUGUUUAUAUGAGAUUAACAAUUUAUUUGGUUCAAUUAGAUAUUCAUAAUUGCAUUGUGUCAUUGAGAGCAAAAAAAUAAUAGUUGUAUUAGGUCUAAGUUUUUACGUGGGUUAUAUUAGUUUUGUUUGGCCCAAUAUCACGUUGUUUAAAAAAAAAAAAAGAAUAUUUGAUAAAAACUUUAUCUCUUUUUUCUUGAUUACUGAAUAAAUCUACGAAUUAACAACGUCAAGACGCAAGAUAAAACGCAAAUAUCAAUUAAAAGGAAUUUUUGUUAGUAAAUCUUUCAAAUAUAUUUUGUUAGCAAGUUUUAAUAUAUUUGAAAGUAAAAAUCUAAGCUUACAAAUCUUAUUAUUUUUUACGUUGUAAUUUUAUAGUUUUGAAUCUUGAAAUCUGGUAAAAACAGAAUUUCAAUUAAAAUUAAUUAUAAAAAAAACUAAAAUGUAAAAUCGGAAAAAGAAUUCGCCAAAAAGAAGCCCUAGAAGCAAUUUUCCUACAUUCUAGACACUUCUGAUAUUUUGAUCAAAAAAAAAAAAAGACACUUCUGAUAAAGCGUUUCAAAAUUAAUUUUGUUAAUAAAACAUAUUUUUCCAUUUUUCUCAAUUGAAUAAAUUAAAAAAGAAAAAAAACUGUUUCUAGAGGCUUCGUUAGCCUAAUUCAUUAAUCUAGGUUCCCCAAAUCUCAGCGAAAUCUAACUUCUCUUUGCUCUCUCAGUAGCUGAAAAUCUCAAUCCGUAUAGCUUAGCUUCCCUAAUCCAACAACCAUGGCAAAGUUCGGCGAAGGUGACAAGAGAUGGAUCGUAGAAGACAGACCUGACGGCACCAACGUCCAUAACUGGCACUGGUCCGAAACCAAUUGCCUUGAAUGGUCUCGCAACUUCUUCACCAAACAAUUCUCCGGCGUUGUUAUCCUCUCCGGCGAAGGUAAUCUAUUCAUCAAGGUCAAUAAGAUCGAGAAAGUCGAAGGCGAGGCUUAUGUGAAUGUAAGGAAGGGGAAGAUUAUCCCUGGUUACGAGCUUAAUGUCUCUUUAUCUUGGGAAGGUGAGGCCAAAGAUUCCGAUGGGAAGACGCUGUUGAAAGCUGAUGGAUUGGUGGAUAUGCCUUAUAUCUCCGAUGAGAAUGCUGAUGAAGAUCCCGAGAUUAGGUUUUCGGUGAAGGAUGAGGGACCGAUUGGGAGGACUUUGAAGGAGGCGAUGGUGAAGAAGGGGAAAUCGAUUAUUCUGGAGAAGGUUAGGGUUUAUGUGGAGGCUAUGGCGAAAGGAGGUCCGUGUAGGGAUGAAUUGGAAUCGAAGAAGGUUGCGCCGAAAUCUGUAGCGGCUGGAUCAGCUCCGGUGGCGGUGGAGAAGUCUGGUGGUGCCCCUGUGGUAUCUGCUGCUGCGGUGGAGACUAAGGUAGUGAAGGAGAAGAAGAAGGCGAAGACUAAGGAAGGGUUUAAGACAAUUACUAUGACUGAGAAGUUUAAUUGCAGAGCUAAGGAUUUGUAUGAGAUUUUAAUGGAUGAGAAUCGUUGGAAAGGUUUUACGCAGAGCAAUGCUAAGAUUAGUAAAGAUGUGAAUGGUCCGAUUAGUGUCUUUGAUGGGUCUGUUACUGGAAUGAAUCUUGAGCUUGAAGAAGGCAAAUUGAUUGUUCAGAAGUGGAGAUUUGGGAGCUGGCCUGAUGGUCUUGAUUCAACGGUUAGUCUAGUGAUUGUUGCUUAAACAUAAUACCCUGAUUUCGAUUUGAUUGUGGUUGAUAUAUUGGCUUUUGCUUUGACAUUUCAGGUGAAGAUCGUUUUCGAGGAGCCUCAACCAGGAGUCACCAUUGUCAAUCUUACUCACACUGACGUUCCUGAAGAGGACAGGUUAGUUUUACUUAAGAGAUUGUUUUCUAGUCUUCCCUAUAAUGAGUUGCUCUUGAUUCUGAAUCUGAACUUUGGAAUUAGGAAACAAAAAAAAAUAGGAGCUUUUAAGUAUUUAACUCUUGACACUUAUUGAGUGACUAUGUUUUGUGUUUGGUUAAAUGCAAUGAAUUCUUCUGGAAUUUGGACUUUAUAUAGCUUGGUUUUAAAUAGAACCUUCCUAUCGAUGUACCAAGGGGUCUAUUUGCUCAACUCUCCCUAACCACCUUUAGCUAUUUAAAUUUCCCAAUGACCUACUCUACUUUUAUUUAUUAACUCUACUAUCUCUGCUUAUCCUUGACACUGGUUUAACUGGCUGUAUGGCGUUGAUGGACUCUUCUAGUCUUCCCCUCUAGUGACUUGCUUGUGAUUCUGAAUUAGAACUUUGGUUUCUGGUAAACCAAGAAAAGAAGUUUGAACUCCUAAGAGUUUUUUCAUUCUUAAAGUGGAAAGAAGUGAUGAGUGACAUGUUUAGUGAGCAAAUGAAUUCUUUUGGAGUUUUGGUUUACUGUAAUGGUUGGUAUAUGAUAGAUCACUCCUGAUUCCCAAUGACCCACAUCUCUUUGAUCUACUAUCUAUGUUAAUCUUUACUGCUAAACUCACUCUUAGGCUGUCCUGAUGAUUGAACUCUUCUUUGUUCCUUGUAAACACUUGAUAACUUAUUCCUUAGUGUGUGAAUAAGUUUGUCUAUAUUCCAUCUGAUUUCCUCCUUAUGUGAAGCAAAUAUCUUAGAGAGUUGUGUUAACUUUAUGGUUGCUUGCGAUUUUUUUGGUAUAUGUCCUCUGUCUUAAGACGAGUGAGUGAUUUUCUGUUGCUAAUAUAAUUGUGAGGAUAUUGAUGUAACUAAUGUUAUCUGAUGUUUUUCCAAUGGUUGAUGCAGAUAUGGGAAUGCGACUGUGGUGGAAAACACUGAGAGAGGAUGGAGAGAUCUUAUAUUCCAUAGGAUCCGUGCAGUUUUCGGAUUUGGAAUAUGAUUUAUGAUUUUGAUUAUCAAAUAAGUUGAUUAUGAUUUCAAUUCGAACAAGAGGGACCAAUUAACAAUGCAAAAUGUAUGAUUUUAAAGUUUUUCACUUUUAGUUAAUGCAUUCCCCUUGAACUUAUAUACUCUCUUUCUUUAGGCCAUAGGCCCUAAUCAAUGUGAUCAGCAUCCGUUGGUUAUAUUUCCUUGAUCUUUUUUUGUCGAUGACACAUACACAAAUCACUUAAGAAUGAUUAUGAUUUAGAAAACUUAUGUUAUGUUGAACAUAUGAGGUCGGAAAAUGUGUCACAUUGUAGAUAAAUGCUUUGUUGACAAUUAAUGGACACAUCGUCAAGGAAUGGCAUGUGAGUGAUCAAACUAUCUCUACUGCAAAAGAGAGAGAGAGAUCAUUUCGCUUUCAGCUUUUCAGCAAUUAAAUGGGAAACUUCGCAAUUAUUGCGCAUGCAGCAACACAAUAUCAAUCACCAUGUAUAGAUUCAAAUUCACAAUAUAGCUAGAUCAAUAGUCUAUUACUUGCGUAAACCUAAUGCUUUAUGUAUCCCAUGUGACGGGAUUGCGUACGUUAGCUCUAUAUAGUUCAUGUGUUUUUAGAUUUCGUCUAGCACUAUUAGGAAUUUUUACGUUACUGGAAAAGAGAACAAAUAUAUGAGAAUGGCAAAAAAUCGGGUAGAAGCGUGUGUAGUUUAAAGGUUUCAAGAAAAAUAGAAAACAGACAAAAAUACAUGAAAAUGGCAAAAGAUAAAAGCACAAGAUCUCAUUUCCAUAUUAAUGUAUGUAUAUACAGAUUCACUAAGCAGUUGACCUUACCUACUCGAAUGUAAUAAAAAUGUAACAAGAAAACAUUAUCAAUUGAAAAUGACAUUGAAACUAGCAUUUGACACAAAUUAUUAAAUCUAAGAAACGGCUGAUUUAUUAAAAUUUAGUUUUAAAUAUGGUUGACCAAGUAGUUAAUUUUUGUUACAGCAGAUCCAAGAUUCAAAUCUCGAACACUAAUGCAGUUUGUAAAUCUAAAUUUUGUGGAAAGUUCUAAAACACCAUCUCACGUAGUUCAUGUGAUAGAUAUUGAAUUAAUCUAUAUGUGUUUGUAUAUAACUCUGUAUACACUUUAACAGAAAAUAUAACAUUAUAUACAACAAUAAAUCGUUAUCUAUAUUAUAUAUAACUCAUUAGAAGUUUAGAACAAAUAAAAUGUGCGCAAAAAUAACAAAUAAUCAAAAACCUUGGAAAAAUAGGUGUGGUGAUCAGUUCUUCUGAGAAACUUUCAUCUUUAUAAGCGAAUAAAUAAAGUAUGACAAAUGUGGGACGAAGAGUAGGAACAUCGGAUAAAAUAAGCUAUUGCUGAAAUAUGUAAAUGAAAAGUAUAGCAAAUUAGCAACUAGUUUUCUUAAGUUUAUAGCAUUAGAGUAAAAUCCAAGUUCAAAUACUAGACGUUGGAUUGGUUUUUAAGCUGAUCCGGCUCACAUGAUUGGCGCUUCUGCGAUAUUUCAACUAUUCUCAUCACAUGGCAUUAGGUGAUUAUGAUUUGUGAUCAUUAACGAGACUUCAAACCAUUAAUCUUUUUAUUAACCUGGUUCGUAUUUUCUCUGAUUUAGUCGUUUUCUUGUUUCAUAGGCCAACAUAACCACCAAAUAUGCUUUCUACAAUACAUUCGUCACUUAAAGAUACCAAACAGUAAUCUAUAAGCAAAUUAAAAUAGUUUCUGUUUUUGUUUUCAUCUGCGCAAUAACGUUUUAACAAAAAAAAAUCUCAACAUUCCAAAUGUACCAAAAUCUCAACAUUCCAAAUUCCGCGUCACAAAAACAGUGGCAUUUCUCGUAAUUAUUUCGAAAGACAAGGGCAAAUAUAAAGAGAAACACUUCAACUUAGCGACAAUUCCUAAGCAAAUGUCACUUUACCGAAGAAACACAUCUCUCUCUCAAGUUUCUAGAAAAAGAGAUUUGUUGACGGAGACAAGACUCUUUUUCUUUUUCUUUUUCACUCUCUCUCUCUCUCACCAAAUCCUAAAAGACCCAUUUUUUAAUCUCUCUGAACUCAAAAAAAAAAACACACAAAACCAAGAGUCAGAGAAAAGAUUCUCACGCGCCAAAAACUCCCUCGCAAUGGCGUCGGACACCGUUAAGCAUAUGCCUAUUCACGGCGUCUCCGCCUUCUCCUCCGUCACCGUCGAAAUCAAAAACUUUUUCUCCGCCGUGAAACCAAGAAAAACCUCAACUUUCGUCUACGCUUUCGUCGUAACUUUCGUUGCCUUGACUGUUUUCUUAGCCUUUAGUCCUUCUCCCAUCACAGUCGCAAUCGCUCCUUCCAUUUCUUCCUAUAUUCUCCCUAAUAUCACUGUCUCCAAUUCACCUAACUCUCCAGCGUCGACCCUCGAUUCCAAUUUCACCACAUUGCCGACACCGGCGCCGGAAAAUCUCACGGCAGUUACUAAAAACGUAACCUUUGAGUCCCCCAUCGCAAAUGGGACAACAGACCCGACUGCUACAGACAACACUUUUCAGUUCAAGACCGAUCAUGCAAAGGAAAACAUAUCGUGUCCUGACAACAAGACUGAUGUUACUGCUCGAGAUUUGGACAAACAUGGAGCAAGGAAAGCACCUCUGUCGGAGGUUCUAGCCGUCAAUUCCUCUGCUUCUCAGAUGAGAAAACAGAGAAGGAAGUCGUCGCUGAGAAAAGUGAUCGAGUCUCUGAAGAGUUGCGAGUUUUUCGAGGGAGAUUGGGUCAAAGACGAUUCGUAUCCGCUCUACAAACCCGGGUCGUGUAAUCUGAUCGAUGAACAGUUUAAUUGUAUCUCUAACGGAAGACCUGACGUGGAUUUCCAGAAAUUGAAAUGGAAACCAAAGAAAUGCUCUUUACCAAGGUAAAUAACAACACUUGAUUACUUUUUUACAUGGUGAUGACUGGUAAGUCUAAUGUAGUCCAAAUGAUAAGUGUGUGUGUAUGAAUAUAUAUAUAUAAAAGGUUAAAUGGAGGUAAAUUGCUGGAGAUGAUUAGAGGAAAAAGGCUAGUGUUUGUUGGAGAUUCGCUGAAUAGAAACAUGUGGGAGUCUUUGGUUUGCAUUCUUAAAGGAUCAGUGAAAGAUGAGAGUCAAGUCUUUGAGGCUCAUGGAAGGCAUCAAUUCCGUUGGGAGGCUGAGUACUCCUUUGUCUUCAAAGUAGGUUUCUUUAAGUAAUCAAAUUACUUUUUGUGUGUCUUCGAGUUUUAAUCGAAUGAUUUACUGUCGAUAGGAUUAUAAUUGCACUGUGGAGUUCUUUGCAUUGCCUUUCUUGGUUCAAGAAUGGGAAGUUACAGAGAAUAACGGGACGAAGAAGGAGACUUUGCGGUUAGAUUUGGUCGGUAAGUCAUCGGAGCAGUACAAAGGAGCGGAUAUUCUUGUAUUCAAUACCGGUCAUUGGUGGACUCAUGAGAAAACUUCCAAAGGGUAUUAGAUUUUUUCGAACUAGUCUGAUCCCUUAUUUGGGAUUGUUGUCUCAUUGUUUUUUGGUAUUUGGAUGCUUUCAUUAGGGAGGAUUAUUAUCAAGAAGGGAGCAAUGUUCACCCGAAACUCGAUGUGGAUGAAGCUUUUCGAAAAGCAUUGACGACUUGGGGUCGAUGGGUUGAUAAGAAUGUGAAUCCAAAGAAAUCCCUUGUUUUUUUCCGUGGUUAUUCCCCGUCACAUUUCAGGUGAAAUCGAGAUCUGUGUGGUAGUUUUACCAGUCAUAAAAACUGGUUUUGUAAAAUUGGUUUGGUUUGAUUGCAGCGGCGGGCAAUGGAAUGCGGGAGGAGCAUGCGAUGAUGAAACAGAACCGAUCAAGAACGAGACUUACCUAACUCCUUACAUGUUGAAGAUGGAGAUACUUGAAAGAGUUCUCAGUGGAAUGAAAACGCCUGUCACGUAUCUUAACAUCACGAGGUUAACUGAUUACAGGAAGGAUGCUCACCCGUCGAUAUACCGGAAACAAAAACUAUCCGCAGAAGAAAGUAAAUCACCAUUGUUGUACCAAGACUGUAGCCACUGGUGCCUCCCUGGGGUGCCUGAUUCUUGGAACGAAAUUCUCUAUGCCGAGAUACUCGUAAAACUUGACCAGCUUGGUGGCAGAAGACGGCGGAAACCCCUAAAAGAUCAUAGGAGUUGAAUCUGCAUCCUUAUAGAUGAAUACAGAACUUUAAAUGGUUAAAAGAAAGGAAACACUGAUGUAGAUGGGAAUCAGAUUAGUGCCAUGUUCAUUUUCUUGAUUGUAAACCCAAUUAAUGGGAGAGAUUUGAGAUUGUAAAUGGUUUUGUGACUACAAGUAAUAGUAAACAUAUGCCUAACCCGAACUGAACCAGACUAUUAGAAUCAAAGACCUAACCAGAAUUUGUGUCUAACUCCAAUGCCUAACCUAAAUCUGAGUUCUGAUGAAGAAUCAUUUGGUGAAGAGAAUCCGGUUGAUGACAUGGACAGGCAAAGCGUAGGCAGGAUCAAUUGUUUUGACUCCAGGAUACUCGAGAAGAGAGAGCCCUGCACCAAUUUUGUAUCAAAUUGACACAUAAUUCUUUGCUUCACAUCAACAAGAUAAGCUAAAGAAAGACAUUUUUAGUUACCCGCAACUCCAAAGUAGGUGUGGAAGAUAUCAACAGCAUCUUUGGGAUUAUCUGAGAUACCUCCGUUAUCCAUGUCCUAUUCAAAGUUUCACUUGAACCUCAGGGAAGGCUCUAAAAGAUGAGACCUUUAAAACCAAUAGCAACAAUAUUGGAAACAAACCUGACAGUCCAAGAUGAACUUGACAAGCUUUCCUUUCUCGAUCCAAUGAACUCUGUCGAUCAUGAUUAAGCUGGAUAACACCCACCAAGAAUAGCAAACCUAAUAACAGGAAUUAUCAAAAGCACGCUAAGAACAAUCAGAAUCAUGUUUCGAUUUGGAAGAGUUUAACGCUUACAUCAGGGAGUUUCUCAGGUCGUCCAUUUAAACCUCCAGACUCGUAGUCUUGUCUUUCACAUAACCACCAUCCAAGUAAGUCCUUAUCAACAUGAUGGAGAUUCCCGGUGAUAGCAAGAGCACCCACGCAACAGAAAACUGCAGCAACAUAAAGAAUCACUGCCCUUUAAUUACCAUAUGAUGCUGCAAUCUAGACACAUAUUGAAUGAUGAUCCCAGGGUUAAAAAGUCAAAUUAGCAUGAACAUACUCUGUCUUGCAUGAGACUCCGCUCCAGGUGUGCACCCGAAACCACCAUCCAGGUUUUUGCAGCUCACAAUGUAAUCAACAGCCUUCUUCACAUUGAUCUUAUCAAGACAUUUUAAUAUUGAGAGACAGCAUAUAGCUAUGUACGAAAACCUACAUUGAACAAGCUUGCAGAUAAACAUAGUGAAACUCACAACUCGGAAUAAAUAAAAAGCUAGGAAGAAAGAAUACCUUGUAUCUACUUCGCCCCACAUAUCUCCUGAGAAGGAUCCAUCUUUAUUCUGUAACCCAGCAAUAUCUAGUUUUUGCAUUUAGACAAACAUAAUUGUAUCCACCACAAGCGAUUUACCGAGUUUAUUUCUUUUCACAUUGACAAGAAGUUAAAUGCUUGAAGGAUACAACUUGACACUUUUUGGACAUCAAGAAUGCUUAGUUUGUCAAAGAGGGCCAAGAUUUGUACAGCACUGAGUGUAUAUAUAACAUGCGGAUCAUGUCCAGUAUUACCGGCAAAGCCACCUGCUCACAAGAAAGAAUCACUUUUUAAAAACUAAAAAUGCAGCAACAUCUUACGAUUAAGGUUGAAAGUAUUAAAUCCGCAAAUGCAUUUGAUUGAUGAAUAUUACACACACCGCAGAAACAGAACCAAGCUUGUCGAGUAAAUCUAGUGUGGUUAGUCCCCAAUAUGCACCAUUCAUUCUCAGGUGAUCCAUCACAACAGACUCAAAACUCUCUUUUUUCUAGCAAGUUGAUAUGAAAACCGAAAAAACAAGUGGGAAAUUCAAGUUGUAAUUAUAAUGACAUUGACAAUGAGCAUGAGGAAAAAUUGGAUGAUAUAGCUUUAUAGUACCUUUUCUGCCAUCAGAAUGUAACGAACAUGCUUGUCAGCUACGAGCUUGUCUGCCAUCAGAUUCAAUAAACUUGGCACAAACAGAAGAAACAACACCAAAGAAUUUUUAAGUUAGCUUUGAUUCAAGUUUAGUUUCCUUCAAUGGGUUAUAAAAUCCCUAGCUGGUAUAAUUAUUAACACUUAAAUCACCCAUCAAUGGUUGAUCACCAUCUAGUGAAUAAAUUCACUAUAAAGUAUAAACGAUCAGCUACAGAGACUCUUACAAUAUCUUCGUGGUGAAAACAGUAAUCAAUUCGAGCCCUUGUUGAAUUUUGUAGGUGGUGAUCAAUAGAUUCGGAAAAGACAAACCUUUACAACGAAAUUAGUAACAAGACGAUUGAACGCAGAAAGAAGAGUAACACAUAAUCGAACAAACCUAGAAAAAUCUGAUAAAUUCUUUUGGGCGAUACGAUGAAGAAGAAGACAGUCAAACAAGUGAUUCGGUCCGUAAUAUGUUAUUAUUAAUAACCCAGACUAAACCGAAAUCAAUCUGGUUCUCCUAAUUGAACCGAUUCAAAUCCUUCAUGUCCAGUCCGGUUUUAAUCAAACCAGAAGAAUCGAGUUUUGCGAAUUAAACCGGAAGACAACAAGAAACAAUUUUACUGACAUAGUGUUAGAAUGUCACAAAGGAUUUGAUAACACAAAAGUACCUUACUAUUGCAACCAAGGACAAAUGGUAACACAAGCAAUUACCAUCAUACAAAUUCAAAAUUCGAAAGCAUCCAAUCAUCCAUCCAUCCCACAACCAGAAAACCCAUAUCAUCAAUAAAAUUAAUCCAAAAGUUGGAUCAAAACUAUUAGCAAUUUACCUUUUUCCAUCGCCAAGCCUCGAAUAAAUAUUUCAUCUCUGUAAUUCAUACGUCCCACAAUACUACUCGCUUUGAUAUAGUCGUCGCCUUCCUCUACCUCAGCUCCUCCCAGACCGUCUAUUUCUGAUCCAAAAUCUCCAUCGUUACAGCUUUAAACUAGAGAAGGUUAUAUGCCACCAAGUUCUUCAGUUUCAGCAGAUUCUUCUCAUCUGCACACUCUUCUUUUUCUUUCAUCUCCGCCUCAAAGUGGUCUAAAGCACCCUCUCCUUGUUAGCUUUCACGACCCGUCAAAUUAAAGUCUUCAUUAUUCUGUUUUUUUUUUUGGCAGUUUGGUAUGCGCGACCAUGACCGAACCAAACCGAGCUAACAUGGACUCUACAAAAUGCGAACCAAGUGUGUUAUUCCUUCGCUAUAUGGCCAACAUCCCUACUUGGCACUUGCAAGUGCAUGAAAAUGUAAAUGGUUUGUUCAUGAGUUAUAUGAGGUCAGGAGUAUAUAUAUACAUACACGCUUAAGCUAGCAUGUUUGGAUAAUAAUCUGCUAUGGGGAAAACCGGUUUUAUACAUCCGUAGAAGACCAGGAUUAAUAACCGGAAUGAUACCCGGUACGGUUAUCAAUGGUCUCCAGCUCUGCUUCAAUUGACUUGUAUUUGUAUCCUCUAUUUUUCUUCAUGUUUAUUCAUCAUUGAGCUUCAAGAGGUAAUCUCCAAAUGAUACCCUUUUAAAGGACGACGAAUAAAGUCUACGUUUAAGAAGAAGAAAAAAAGAUUAGUAACCGGAUUUAAAUUCUGUACCCGCUGUGUCGACCACACCAAAAUUAAAUGGAGGAGAUCCAAUUCCAAAGAUGCUCAUAUAUCGGAAAACCCUAGAUCGACUCCAUUUAAAUGAGACUUUCGUGUUCCAUAUGGCUUAAGAUCGAAUUACGUGGCAUGCACGGGAACAAAGCAUAUCUACCACAUACACACUAUAAUAAGACCAUACAUGCGUUACCGUUAAUAUGUGCGUGUUUUAUUUCACAAAACCAAACUCGGCAGCCGUAAAGAUAAUAAAAAACGAAGGCCCAUAUGACCGGUAUGUAUAAAAAACCUUAAGAAAAGGAAAGAGAGAGCGAACCCUAAUUUCUUCUAAUCAUGCCGCCGAUGAUCAGUCUUAGAUCCGUCAUUGCGCAGGUAAAUAAAACAAAAUCGAAGAUCUUUGAUUCUACUUUUUUGGCGAUUGAUAACACGUGCUAUUUUACAGUGCCGUGAUGUGGUCUCGCCGCAAUUUCUGUUCAUCCCGUAACGUCAACGGUAUGCUUAUCUUUUUAUUUUGCUAAGAACGGUAUGCUUAUCUGAUCGAUUCCGUAUGAACUCGCGUCUGUUCUCUGAUUUUUUCUUUCAAUUGCAGAGUCGAUGACAGGCGAAGGAAGUUCGAUGACGGUUGUGCAAAAGGGUAUUAAUGCUGGCUUUUCACUUUUUGUGUAUGGAUUUGGGGCCUACUUGGUUAGGGGUAAUGUUCAGUAUAUUCUUUUGAGAUUUUUCAUUAAUUUUUUAUACACAAAUGCGUGAUUGUUUCGUUUUUCAUGCUUAGACUGUAUGAAGAUGAAUAAACGCCGUCGAGAGUGGGAGAAAGCUGAAGAAGAGAGGAAAAGAAAAGCUCACGAUCUGGCUUUUUCGGUUUUCAAUAACUAAUCCGUGAGUCUUCAAUGAAUGAAUUCAGAAUAAAAGUUUGUGUUGGCUAUGCGUGUGUCUUCAAUGAUGAAUGAAUUCAGAAUAAAAGUUUGUGUUUAGUUUUUGUUUGGUACUGUGCUGGGAACAAAAAAAAGGAAGCUUAAAUAAUCUAUGGUUGUGACUUGUGAUUGAUGUUGUGAAGAUUUGGUCGAAAGAUUUUAUUUAUUUCUAGCCUGGCAAACUUGAUUUGUUAUUGUUGUAUUCAUCCCUAUUUAUGCUUGUGUAGUGGAGUUAGGGAUGAUUUUUCUAUGUACAGCUCCAACCCUGAAAACUUGAAAUUUGCUUUUCCAUUGUCUUGCAUGCUCUUUCGACAUCACUGCGUCUUUCCUCCCUAACAUUCAUUUGCUGUUUGCGAUCACAUAUGAUGUUAUUUAGUAAAUAACUAUCAUUCUCAUUAAAAGAUGCAAUUGGGGGUUUACAUACAUUUGACCAUGCCUUAACCAACUAAACCAAGCUAUACAGACUCAAACCAAACUAUACACAAUGUGCUAUACAAAUGAACUAUAUACUAUGAUAGAUGUCAGUAAUGAAAUUUGAUAUGAAUUAAUACGUACAUAUCAGAAAAGAGAUCACAGUUCAAGUGCCAGCGACCAGUCAAACUGUCAAAGUAUGGUCGAAUCAACUCCUCAAGGGGGACUGGGGAGGCAGUCAUCUGCACACAGAAUCAAGAUUUUCGCCUUUGAUGGAACAACUCUCAGAGCCUAGGAAAGACAGAGAAGCUUUAGAAGACAGUUCCCAUGAAAUGGAGAUUCCAGGGGUACAUAAAGAGAUAUUUUCAUUAUCAAUUUCAAGUUCACAUAUUUCGGUGAUAAAUAAUACACAAAACAGAGAAAAAAAAACUUGGGCUAGAGCCCAACAAUAUAGUCGGAUAUAUAUCACCGGUGAACCAACCAUAUACAAUCAGCCUUCAGCACAGAUAUAAACUUGGGCUAGAGCCAAACAAUAUAGUCGGAUAUAAUUGACGAUUAUGCCGCCUAUCAGUCUUAGAUCCCUCAUUGCGCAGGCGACUCGCGGAGGAGGUAGAUCUCUAGUCUCAAGGCGCAAUUUUUCUUCAUCCAGUAUUAGCAAUGGUACGUUUUUGUUCGUUUUCUUCAUCCCGCCUGAUUUCUAUAAAAUUCGCAAGCGUGACGGAAUCUUUGGUUUAUUUGAUUUUCUUUUUUUGUAGAGCCCAAGUUACCCAGAAUAUCUAUCGGGAGCUACAUCAGCGGCUGCAGGAUAUGGUACAGGUAUGGAGAGAGAGCGAUUUUUUUCCCUCAAUUUUUUUAUCGAUGAGUCGAAUUAACCAGCCUUGUUAAUUUUUUUUUUUAUUUUUCGUAUGAAGCUUAUCAUUUAUUUGAAGUUGAUGAAAUGGAACUUGUUAAGGAGCGGCAAAAGGUAGAAACAAACAAGCAAGAAGCACUCAAAUGAGAUUGUGACCAUUGCACUUGUUUAAAAAGAUUGUUUAUGUUAGCUUGAUUCAAGUUCAGUUUCCUUCAAUGGGUUAUAAUAUCCCUAGCUGGUAUAAUUAUCAGUGUCUUUGUUUCUAUUGCAUUCUAUCUCAUUGUAUCACAUAGUGAAUAUCACUCUAAACGAUCAUCAGCUACAGAGACUCUUAAGGGUCAUAUCUUGGCGGUGAAAACAGUAAUCAAUUCGAGCCCUUGUUGAAUUUUGUAGGUUAUGAUCAAUAGAUUCGGAAAAGACAAACCUUUACAACGAAAUUAGUAACAAAACGAUUGAACGCAGAUUAUAAUAAGAAGACAGUCAAACUUUUCGGUCCCGUAAAUAUCAGAUUUUAUACCGAAAUCAAUCUGGCUCUCCUAAUUGAACCGAUUCAAAUCCUUCUCGUCCAGUCCGGUUUUAAUCAAAACCAGAAGAACCGGUUUCGGAUCCAUCAAACGAUAAAGAGUUAAAAACCCAGAAGAUAAGUGAGUGAUAAACCUCUGGCAAUUUCUUCUCUGCCAAAAAUGGCGAGUCUACUUGAUUCGUUGACAACCAGAUGCUUCUUCACCAUUCCUUCAAUUUCUAGGAUUUCUUCUCCUUUAGCUUCUUCAUCUUCAUUGACUUCUUCACCAUCUUCCUCUUCUCCAAUUAUCCCAUCUUUCUCAGUUCUCUCUUACACUCACCAACACUCGCAUUCUCGCUUCCCUUUCCUUGUUGCAGCAACUCUGGAUGGUUCCUCUGCUGAAGAAGAGCUAGAUUUCGAAGAAUUCGACCAAUAUGCUGAAGACAACUACGCUGAUGAUUCGGAUGACGAAGACGACUCCAUCGAUAUCUCCGUUCUUGAGAAAGAAGCGAGAGAUAUCGUGAGAGAUUAUGCUACCAUUUUGUCUCGCGAGCUCAAACUCGGUAAUUUCUUCCCUGCUUUUAUUGCCAGUGUUUACUUUGUAUGUAUUGGUCUUAACGGUAGUUAAAAACUGCUUGAUGCUACCAAAGACUGUGAAUGAUGAUCAUAGUUUGAUGUUUCCAGAGGAUGAGACCAUUGAGGGGAAGGAAACUCGUAGAAAAGGGAAAAGGCUAGCCAAAAAUGUUAGUCAAGCUCCUUUUUGAGUUUUUUUCUUUGUUAGUUUAUCGACGAUGAGGCUUCAAAUUACUGACAUGACUAUAAAAUAAAAAAAAUUCCAGACGCAGCAGAUACCAGAGCAUCUUCUCCAAAGAGUUGCGAUCGUUGGAAGGCCAAAUGUUGGCAAAUCAGCAUUGUUCAACCGUCUUGUUGGGGUAAGUUUUGCUGACAUUUAAAUUUUCAGUUUGAUACUUAUCCUUACCAUUCAUAUAAGUUGUCUUUACAAUACAAUUUGCAGGAGAAUAGAGCUAUUGUAGUGGAUGAACCAGGAGUUACUAGGGAUCGAUUGUACGGUAGAUCGUAUUGGGGUGAUCAAGAAUUUGUGGUGGUAGACACAGGAGGUGUUAUGACUGUUUCAAAGUCACCAUCUGGUGUCAUGGAAGAGCUGAAUGUAUCAACCACCAUUGGGAUGGAAGGUAUUCCACUAAGCUCUAGGGAAGCAGCUAUUGCAAGGAUGCCUUCCAUGAUUGAGAAACAAGCUACAGCAGCUGUCGAUGAAUCAGCUGUCAUUAUUUUCGUUGUCGAUGGCCAGGUUCUGUGCUUAUGUUCUAUCUCCUUAACUUUUCUGUCUUUGCCUUAUUCCCUGUUAGGCUUUUCUUUUCCUGCCAGAAAAACAAAGUCCAGCAACAAAAAGUAAUUUGGUUGCUGUAUUAUAUUUCUUAGACUUAUACUAUGAAUAUGGUGGGAGUUGGUUAUAACCAAAAUAUUCUUUAGAUUUUCAGUUUAAUGGAAGAUAUUACCAAAUACUCAAGAAAGCUGUGACUUAUAUCUAAAAUAUAACAAGCUGAUUUUGUGAAUUCUUUUACUGUAAAGCCCAAUUGAGUGUUUCCUGGUUAUCAUGCCAUGUCAUAGAUAUGUGGUAAUGAUUUUGGUACUAUGCAGGCAGGGUCAUCAGGUGCUGAUGUGGAAAUUGCGGACUGGUUGCGGAAGUACUACUCACAUAAGUAUAUCAUUCUCGCGGUAAACAAAUGUGAAUCACCACGUAAAGGACUCAUGCAGGCUUCGGAAUUUUGGUCUCUAGGGUAAAUUCACUUUCAUCCUACUUCAGAAUCAUGUUUGCGCACAAACUUGGCUCUUUUUGGGGGGUGUGGUUUAAGGAUAUGAACGUGCUGAAAAUAGGAGUGAUUCUCUUUUGAAGAUAGCUUUUCAUUUAGUGUUUCAACUGUCUACAAAAAUAGAAUUCAUGGACAAACGUCAUUUGGUACUUUUCAUUAGAUGAGUUGAAUAUUUGUUACUUUCUUAAUUGUCAGUGUUUAUAUUCAAGAGAAUAAUCUUUUCCUAAUUUGUGAAUCUAGUAUUGUUAUUAUGAUGAGUUUAUGGACCUGGCGAACUUGUACACAUCAGAACUUUCUCUCAUCAUAGUGUCUAUUUUGAUGUUUCACCUUUAUUUUGAAUGCUAGUGAGUAGGUUGGUAGCUAUGGUUUAGCCGGAGAUAAAAUGUUUUACUUGCAAUGCUUAACAUUUUAGUUACUUUGCUUCUGUCCAUUUUUGUGUGUUUUCAUUUACAAAUUAUGUGGCAUUGAUUUCAUGGUGGAAUUUCCAGGUUCACACCUAUCCCUAUUUCUGCAUUGUCGGGAACUGGAACAGGAGAGCUGCUUGAUCUUGUUUGUUCUGGGCUAAAUAAAAUCGAGGUUUGUAAUGGCCUUUCUUUCUUUCAGAAAAACGUUUGUGCAGGAAUAUGAAAUAUUGGCAAAUAGUUGAUUAUGAUAUCUUUAUAUGGACAUAUUCUGUAUCACAGUAUACUGUUUCUGAAAUCUUUUCAAGGUUUGGCUUAAUCUACAUCAUAUACACCCUGAAAUUUCAUCCCCUAUUUAUCAAAGACCUUAAGGCGUUUUUGAAUAUGUUUAUUUGGCACCCAUUGUGUUUAUUUAACUGCAAUAACUGGCCAUAGCAUUGACAAGUACGUCUCCUUUAAAUAAUUAGCGUUGACGAGUAGCAUUGACAAGUAUGUUCAAUGAGAAACCAAAUAUCAAAACCUUUUCUUACAUAUGUUGCACCCAUAUGAUUCAAUGAUUUUUCUAGAUCAUGGAGAACAUCGAAGAGGAGGAAGAAGAAAACUACAUUCCUGCCAUUGCAAUUAUUGGUCGGCCAAAUGUUGGCAAAAGUAGCAUUUUAAAUGCACUUGUCCGAGAGGAUAGAACAAUAGUUAGCCCUGUUAGUGGAACUACCCGUGAUGCUAUAGAUGCAGAAUUUACCGGACCAGAUGGGGAGGUUCGUUCAGUGUUCUCUGUUGUGUUUUUUUGUGGCUUACUUUCGGUGAAUACCCAUUCAUUUAACCCUGAAUAUGAUUAUGAACUGUGUUGCAGAAGUUUCGGCUUAUAGAUACAGCUGGGAUCAGGAAAAAGUCAUCUGUGGCUUCAUCAGGCAGCACUACAGAGGCCAUGUCAGUGAAUCGUGCAUUUCGAGCAAUUCGUCGUUCUGAUGUUGUUGCCCUUGUCAUUGAAGCCAUGGCAUGCAUAACAGAGCAGGUAUCUCACUAGUAACUGACACUGAUGAAUGUUUCUCAUUAGCAAUUGUAUAGCAUGCAGUUUUGGUAUAGACAGAGUUUAACCAUACAGUAGAAUUAUUUCCCUGCCCAACAACACUUUUACUGACAUACUGUAGUUUUAGAAAAUUUAAUGAUAAACUUUCGUAUUCAUGUGAAAUUUAUCUUCUUCUCGUUUCUUAAUGGUUAUGGUAUUGGAAAACAGGAUCUGAAGAUUGCAGAAAGAAUAGAAAGAGAAGGGAAAGGAUGUCUGGUUGUUGUAAACAAAUGGGAUACAAUACCAAACAAAAACCAAGAGACUGCAGCACAUUACGAGGACGAUGUUCGGGAGAAGCUCCGUUCCCUCAAAUGGGCACCUAUUGUUUAUUCUACCGCAAUAACUGGCCAUAGUGUUGACAAGUGAGUCUCCCUCAAAUGAUUCAAAAACUAUUUUCAAUGUCACACUCCGGUUUAACUUAAUCUGUUGAAUAUUUUAUAAUUAAAAUGUAGUAUUGUGGUUGCUGCUGCGACGGUUCAAAAGGAGAGGUCAAGAAGACUUAGUACAGCCAUAUUGAACCAAGUGAUAAGAGAAGCAGUUGCAUUUAAAUCUCCUCCAAGAACCCGUGGAGGCAAGCGAGGCCGCGUUUACUAUUGCACCCAGGUAAUAAAAACUUUGUCCCAAUGUUUUCUAUUAGCAGUAAAGGAAAUUGCUUUAGAGGCUUUUCGGGUUUGUUUGUAAGUAUAUAAAAUGCUUGUAUAAUGCAGGCAGCAAUAAGGCCACCGACGUUUGUUUUCUUUGUAAACGACGCAAAGCUGUUUUCGGAUACGUACAGAAGGUAUAUGGAGAAGCAGCUACGCACUGAUGCAGGCUUUGCUGGGACUCCAAUUCGGCUACUUUGGCGCAGCCGUAAAAGAUCUGACAAAAAUGGAGGAGGUACGAGUUUUUAGCAUGAAGUCUUAAUUCUUUUUGAAGUAGUAUUUGUAUAACUUAGGGAAAUUCUGCAGGUGGAGGAACAAUGAGAAUGGCAGGUCUUACACGCCAGAGAAAUCUUGCAACCAAAAGAACAUAAGAACGGACGAUGUAAUUUUUGUUGUAUUGAAAAAUAAUUACCAUCAAAAUAUAUAUUCAAAACUAUAACUAAAAAGAAAUUUAAUAUCAGCAUCUUUCAUCUUUGUGUUUUCUUAAUCUCAGUUUGCUAAAAAGAAAAUGUUUAAGAAACAAAAGCCGAUGAGGAUUUCAGUAAAGCUGCUCUUUCUUUUCGUGCCACCAUCUCCACCUGUAAAAAAAUAAUGCUUUUGUCAAAAGAAAAUAUUGGAAGAUCUCAAUUCGGAUCAAACGAUGAAAAUCUGUAAAUCAUAUAGUAUAAUUUUGUAACAAAUCUUUCAUUUUACGAGUAAGCAUUUGGUAAGAGAGAGAGCGAGGUAGGUUACCAGUAAUAGUCCCAACGAGGACGGACUCUGGUCAUCCGGUUAUCAUCAGAUGGAUGGUAAGGAUGAGCCGCGUGGCGAGUGUUGUGGAAGGCGCAGCAACCAGCUGCGUAGACCGCGAUGAGGAGGACGAGGACGAGAAUGUUGACAACCGAUAACUUUCUCCAGUCGAGACGGAUCUCUUCGAGAACACCAGCCUUGCAAGCAUCGCACUCGUAGCAUAACAUCUCCACUCCAUUGUUCCAUCUGUAGCAAUCUCCUCCUCCAUCCACUACUCCAGCUUCGUACGUGCACGCCGUUGGUGGCUUACAACAUCCCGACUGCAAUAUUUUGUAUUAGUCACGUCUUAACUCUUAACUAGGCUUUUAUUCGCAAAGAAUACUAUAUUUAUAUUUACGCCAAGCACAAACUAAAUUUCUUCUCAAAACACAAACGUACGGCUCAACAAAACACAUACGGAAAGAGAAAAUUUUAAUCACAUGCUUGCUUUACACGCCAUUAGAAACGGAGAAACAAAUAAAAUCAAAGGCUUAGUUUAUCAUGAUAAGAAAUAUAUUAGAUUACUAUAGCAAUUUGUUAAGCAAGCAUGUAUCAUAUCAUAAAGUGGAUGUUACCUGAACAGAAGUCAUGUCUCUUUGGAAAUAAUCAAGUGUAGUCCAAGUCUCAAUCUUAGUACAAGUCUUGGAACUCAAGAUACAGCUUCUAAUGGAGUUCCAAUACUGAGGAUCCCUAACUCUCUCUCUCAACCAUGGAUGAUAGUCUCCAAGCCUAUACUCUUUAUAAACCCUCCCUGGAACUUCCACUCCACCUCCUUGGCUCGUAACCACCAGACCAAACAGCGUUAGACCCAUUAGAGUCGCGAUGAGGAAGAUCAUGACCACUAAGUAUACCCAAAGAGCCCAUGCGACGUUGAAGCAGGCUCCUAUGAAACCCGCAAGCGAUACUAAGAGUAUGAUGAAUCCUAUAACAAGUAGCGGCGUCUGGAGGAAGUUUUCACAUGUCGUACUGCUUCUUGCCUUAUAUAAAGCAGUUCCUAUGAUUGGAAUCGAGGCUAGUAAGGUGAGGAGGUUUAAGACCCCAAUAACUGUGUUGCUGAAUCUGUACAUAAUAGUAACGUUAUCAAGAAGAAAUCAGAGACUUAACACUGCCUUCUUUCUUUUGUAAGCAGAUUCUCUUCUUGCAAUGUGAAUUUCAUCAGCUUUAUCUUACAAUCUUUCUUUCUAGAUAUAAUAUUGGUUAACUCUACUUUUUGCUUUUGAUUCUCUCUUAUCAACUGGGAAUUUUUUAAGGGAAAAGGUUUAGAGUUAAUGGUUUGAUGAUUCAUGCUCAUAUUCUUUUGGUCCUCUCUUGAUUUGAAUCAAUUAAACAAUAACAUUGAAACCGUAUAUUUUUCAAAUAAAAGUGUCCUUUUGGACAAUUGUUUCUUGUUUAUUGUUCUAUAUUAUACGUUUUUGUCGUUGGAGUUGGUACAGAGCAGACCACAACCAAGAGAAAUCAAGUAGUGCCCUACUAACAAUAUAUAAUUUCCUAGCUUUUAGUCCAAAAACUGCAAUCAUGGUUUGUAUAAUGGAUCACACAAGUGGAAUAAAAUAAAUGUGACAUGUUCAAUGAAGCAUAGGAGUAAGCAAAGAAUAAUAUAGACAUGGACGGGCGAUGAUUUCGUAAUCGAUGAAUUUUCUUUUUAAGAUGCUUUUAGUGGCCCAUUCCUUGGAAUUUUAGGUUUUUUUGGAUAUAGCAUAAUGUGACCUUCGAUUCCCCCACUUCCUUUUUAUUGUAUAAACAAGAAAGAAUUCUAAAAUCUUGUCUCAGCUCAUAUUUUAUGUAUUUUUAUGUUUUACUUUCACAUUUAGCAAAUGAUAUUUGUUUCAAGUUGCAUAUCAUUUAUGAGCCAAAAUAUCCACAAACUUGAAAAAUACAAAGGUUGUGGUCCUUGUGUGGUUGAAAAGACACACAAAUGGAAAAACAAACAAAACCAGAUUGCACGAACAAAGUCACAACUUGAAACCAAAAAAUAUUUUCCUAUAGAACCAUGAUCUCUAGUAUACAUCCAAAAUCUUCAAAUCAGUAUUUAAAAACAAAGAUGACGCAGAUGCAGCUCAAGUGUAAUCAGUUUGCAGGGUCAAGUCUUGUACACCCAAAUCAUGGUAUACAUCAUAUACAUAUUGCAGUAAUGGCCUUUCAUCUAUUCCGCUCUUCACCUAAAACCGAUACCAAAAUGACAAACCCAUUCAUUUCCAUCCUAGCGUGAUCUCAUGUUUUAACCGAUAUAAAAACAAGAGAGAAAUGAGUACCUGGAGUCUGAGUGAGCCCACAGUGUGACCAGGCACAACCUCCCAGAAACGUGCCUGUAAAACCUCCAUGACAUCUUCUCGAGAAGUAAUCUGUACAGAGAGAGAGAGAGAGAGAGAGUUGAAGAGAAGCCUGGCUUGAUCAACAAUAGGGAAUAUGUACACAUUUGGGGAACAAUUUAUGAGCGAACCUGUCGCAAGCAUUUGCUUAAUGCUGAAGAAGGAAUGUUAGGGGGUGCCAUCUGAAGCAAGACACCACCAGUGGCUUUGAAGAGUGGCAUAACAAGCAUAAACACGGUAAUGGAUACCAAUCCUAAACAUAGGACUUCUGCAUUUUCAACCCUUAAAUAGCCAAGGAGCAAAAGGAAAAUGUAAGAGGUCAAGCAAGAAGACACUUAUAUUCAUUUAGCUCCUCAAAGGUAGCGAGCAUUACCCGAGAGAGAGGAGCCAAGAUGCCAGUAUCAGACCUGCACUGAAAAGACAGUAGCAAAGAAAAAUUCAUGUUGAUUGUAUAGAAGUUCAAAGGAAAGAAGCAUUUUUUUCUAUCUAGCUCUCUCCGAUUCUGCUUGAGAUAAAGAAAGGCAGAGAGAAUCAACACCUGCGGAUGGAAUCUGCUAUGACGUGCAAGCAAACAGAGUGGUAAUUCAUAUCUUCUGCUUUUCUGUAGGCUGCAGCAUAUUAUGAAUGUAAGAAAGAAAUUCAAGAAAAAAUCUGGUUUUAAAUAUGUAUAGAAGGGACGAAUUGUCUUGUGCCAGAUCAGUUAAUCACGCUGUCUCUAUUUCAACUAAUUCUCGUACUGAUUAUCUUAACCAAACACCCUUACUUAUUUGGCUUCAAAGUCAAAACUGACAAGGGUGGCCAAUUUCUACAAAUGAAAUAUACUCAAGCCACCAGAAAAGGCUAUAUUAUAUAGAGAGCAUAUGGGCAGCAAUUCAUACAGGUUUAACGAGAACUUAAGCAUGUUUAUAUAUAGCAGAAAGUACAUACCAAUAUUGACACGAGCAUAAUUCCGGAAGAACCAAACACCUAGUAGGUUCACCAGUAAAUUUGUUACGGCUGAUACAAUCAAAUAAUGCCUACAUAAAGGAGAUAUCAAUAAAUUACAAUAAGGAUCAAGAGGGAACAAUUACUGUAAACUUAGUAAGUGCUAGAGAAAUAUCUAGAAACUCCUAGGCAUGCCAGUUGUGAAAAAGCAACUUACUUGUGCUCUGAUUCAUCUUGUAUAAAUGCAUGAAGAGCUUCCACAGCUAAGGAGAAUGACAUGAACAUAAGGAACAGCUGUCUACACAUAUGUCAAAUAUUAAACAUAUCAAAGUAUUAACCAGAAAGAUUAACUACAGAGAAUGAGACAAUGAAGGCAAAACGAAAAGAAAGGUCCUCAUAAUGUAUGGAAGUCCAAAUUAUUUUAACAACGAGCUGUAAAAUUACUCUAUUAUAUCAGCAACAGUAAAGGAAAGAGUGUUAACACUGAGUUACGCUGUCGACACUUAUUAUAUUACAUGGCACAUAAGCCUUAGACCUUAGAAGCCUCGAACAGAUAAAACUUACAGCAUUAGUGAAAGCAGAUAAAACUUCAAGUCUUUUGUACCUGGGAAAAAAAAAGACAAGGAUGCCUAAAUUACAACCACUUCAGCAAUAUCACAUUACAGUCUCGGCAGAAAAAUAGAUCAUAAAAUGGAUUCACCAACUGAGCCAAUCAAUUUACAUUUAUCUCACCCGUAUGAGUAAGCAUGAUCAGGCUUCUUCCUUGAAGUUGCCAUUGCAAAUAAAGAAAAUGUCAAGAGCCCACAACCAAAUGUCAAAUGGAAUGCAUCGGAGACCAAACCUGUAACAGUCCAUACAGCAACAAAAAAAAAGAAAAGUUGCACAGUUAGUAUAUACGGAAAAAUGACCAAGAACCAGGGAACUAAACAAACCAAUUCUAACAUGCACCAAUUAUUAUUACAUUGAGCAUUUAACAAACUACGACAUCAGAAACCGGAGAUUGUUUAACGCUUGUGAAACCCUUUCUAGUGUGACUCAAUUGCAACAUAAAACAGAUCUUAAAAACCCAUAAUAAAGGCCUCAGAACACGCACAGUCUCUACUAUCGCUGAGGAUUAGAUCCAUAGUUUAGAAUAUUAUAUCAACUUAGUACUUGAACCUAAAUUUUACAGCUUUAGCUGUUAUAUUUCAUCUUCAACACAUCCAAGUCUCUCCUUCGGCAAAAAUAUCAAGAACUCAAGUAAUCACAACUUGUUUCAGAGAUUCAAUCCUAAAACAAAAGAGAACUGAAACGAUAUCGUACCUACACGCCCAGUGAAGAUCCCAAUAGAGAGCUCUGUUGUAGAAUACAAGACAUUAAGCGCAAUCAGCAGAAACAACCUCUUCAUCUGCCGAUUUCCACUUCUCAGUACUCCAAAAAUCUCCCAAACCAUAUCCAAAACAGAUACUUUUCCUAUUUCUACGUCUUUCCCUUCCCCGUAAAACACAUCAUUCCCGUCAACGGAGUAAAUCUCCGGCGGCAUAUCGAUGCUCGAGACCGUCCUAUCGAGAAAAGGCUUAGCUGCUUCCGUGACCGCCGGCGUUCGUGGACCGUGAGAUUGCUGAAACGAACGAGAAUAAGCAAGCCUCCGAUCAUUAGCAACAUAUCCAACAUCACUGCUGCGAUCAUUCGGGAGCUCGUUAUCGCCUCGAGGAUUAAAGGAAAUGGAUCUCUCCAUUUUUGAUCUUAAUUUCACUAAAAUCAACAGUCGUCUACAAAAAAACUCAGCUUAUACAGUAAAAGUCAAUGGGCCACUGUUCGAAGCCCAUAUAGAAUUUUAUAUGCCUAUGGGCUAUGGAUCGCACUAAACCUUAUGGCCUUGAUUUUUUUUUACUAAGAAUGCUAAAAAUGUAAAUAUUUCAACAUAAACCUUAUGGACUUGAUUGGCUUUUGUUUUUACUUUUUAGUGUUGUUACUAGCAAAUUUUUUUAUAGUGGUUUUAAAUCAUAUCAAAUUUUUCUAAAAUUGUAUAUCCAAUACAAGAAUUAUUUUGUUAAAAAUGCGUGGGUUAGUGUAUAUAUUUAUCAAACGCAACAAACAUUAUACAGCCCAUUAAAUAUGGUUGUUUUAGGUAGAUGUCCCCAUUAAGGAACUUUUUCCAGCCCAUUAAAUUACUUUACAGAGUAGAGAGAUUACAGUUACGUUACCAAAUUUCGAAAUUAUAUUUAUUAGUAAUAAAUAAAUUUAUGAAUGUCAGUUACUCUUUAGAAAGCUAAGACAGCUGUUUCCACCAACAACGUGACUGGUCGUGGGGUCCUCCUUCGUUCAAAGAGAGAUUUCAGAAUCAACGGCUGAGAUCUUCUCCAUCAAUAUUUAUUAUGGGCCUAUUCUUCCUUUUUUAAACUUCAAUUCUCAGGCUCACAUUCUCUUCUUCAUUCGCUCCGUUUCUCUCUCAAACUACACACACGUACGACGACACACCCUCCAGGUUUCCUCAGAGAUCCCUCAAACUUCUAAGGUAAUAACAUUUCCACAAUGUUCUUCGAUUUUAACGUCCUGAGUUCAUCAUUUCAAUCUCAAAUAUUCAAGUAUUGUUCCUGUUGUUUAUAUAUGAAGCUUUUUCAAUUUAAUUCUCUUUGGGAGAUCUUUAGAUUAUAUUCCUCUGUUUGUUGCAAAAGAAAUAGGGUUAAUUUCACGUUCAGUUAUGCUAAUGUUAUUGAGGAAUCAUUUUGAAGGAUAUAGAAAAUGGCAGACGGUGAAGACAUUCAGCCUCUUGUCUGUGACAAUGGAACCGGAAUGGUUAAGGUAAUUUACAUACUUCAAAAUUUGUGUUACCUUUGUUGUUAUGGAUAUAAAUCUGAAAACUUUUUUUAAUUCAUUUCGAUACAAUGCUGGUGUCUGUUUAUAAGAGUGAUUCAUAUAUGUUUCCAAUUCCUUAGGCUGGAUUUGCCGGAGAUGAUGCACCAAGAGCUGUAUUCCCUAGCAUUGUUGGUCGUCCUCGUCACACUGGUGUGAUGGUUGGUAUGGGACAAAAAGAUGCUUACGUUGGUGAUGAGGCUCAGUCUAAGAGAGGUAUUUUGACAUUGAAAUAUCCUAUUGAGCAUGGUAUUGUUAGCAACUGGGAUGACAUGGAGAAGAUUUGGCAUCACACUUUCUACAAUGAGCUCCGUGUUGCACCUGAAGAGCACCCUGUUCUUCUCACUGAGGCUCCUCUCAACCCCAAGGCCAAUCGUGAGAAGAUGACACAGAUUAUGUUUGAAACUUUCAACACUCCUGCUAUGUAUGUCGCUAUCCAAGCUGUUCUUUCCCUCUACGCCAGUGGUCGUACUACUGGUAAGAAGAUCUUCAACACCACCAUUGUUUAUUCCACUCCUCUAUGAUGCAUUGAACAAACUUCAAGUUCAGCUUAUUAGGAAAGUGGACAUUUUGAGAACUACCCUUUCUUGACCUUGUUGCUGUGGAAUCAUUGUCCAUUGUCUUGUGUGUUUCCAGGUAUUGUGUUGGACUCUGGAGAUGGUGUGAGUCACACUGUUCCAAUUUAUGAAGGAUAUGCUCUUCCACACGCCAUUCUGCGUUUGGACCUUGCAGGACGUGACCUUACUGAUUACCUCAUGAAGAUCUUAACAGAGCGUGGUUACUCAUUCACUACCUCAGCAGAGCGUGAAAUUGUAAGGGAUGUGAAAGAGAAACUUUCUUACAUAGCUCUUGACUACGAGCAAGAGAUGGACACGGCAAACACAAGCUCAUCCGUUGAGAAGAGUUACGAGUUGCCUGAUGGACAGGUGAUCACCAUUGGAGGAGAGAGAUUCCGCUGCCCCGAGGUUCUGUUCCAACCAUCUUUGGUGGGAAUGGAAGCUGCUGGUAUUCAUGAGACCACUUACAAUUCCAUCAUGAAGUGUGAUGUGGAUAUCAGGAAGGAUCUGUAUGGAAACAUUGUGCUCAGUGGUGGAACCACCAUGUUCCCUGGAAUUGCUGAUAGGAUGAGCAAAGAGAUCACUGCUUUGGCUCCAAGCAGCAUGAAGAUUAAGGUGGUUGCUCCACCAGAGAGGAAGUACAGUGUCUGGAUUGGAGGCUCCAUUCUAGCAUCACUCAGUACCUUCCAACAGGUAAAAAUCGGUUUUUCGUUACUUUUAUAUCAAAUUUUGUGUCCUUUUUCUUGUUACCCACUUGAAAGUUGUUUACAAUACACAAAAUGUUGUUGGUCUGCAGAUGUGGAUAGCAAAGGCUGAGUAUGAUGAGUCAGGGCCAUCAAUAGUCCACAGGAAGUGCUUCUAAGAUUAAGCUCGAAUCAAAGUGAUGAAUGAUUGUUCUGUAUUGGUAAAGCCUUUUGUUCAUCGACUUUGUUGCAAAAUAUUCUUUUGUUUUCUAUGUUUCUUCACCACAUUUCUUCCUUGCUGUCCUCCUCUUUUGGUAUUUCUGCUACUAAUUGUUAAAGAAUCGUCUUUUAUUAGUUUCUAUUUUUUCCUCUGCUGUUCCCUCUGAAAUCUGAGAAAAAAAAAAGAAAGAUGUAACUAGAGGCAAUGGAUUUGGCCUUUUUAUUUUAGUUUUGUUAAAGGGGUUUCAUAAUUAAAGGGAAAGACAGAGUUCUUUACAAAAAGCUAAUUCUAAAAAAGAGGAAUCAAAAGCCGAACCACAUGAUUGGAGUUAGAGAAAGAAUAGUGAUCUGCCAACAAAAACAAGUACAAUUACAAUUAACUCGGCAUUUUUAAUACAUCCACAUGAUCAACAUUGUCACGGCUUCACUUCACUAUCACAGUGUGGAAUACAGUGCCAGUAAUAAUAAUAAUAAUAAAAUAUCCUACAAUGUGCUCGGUUCACGAAGAUUGAACACCUUGAUAACUUACUCUGACGAAGCAUCAAACAAACAGACAAAAAACAUUGGAACCGUCGAAACUAUGAACCAAAUUCCAAAACCUAAAACUUAGAGAGAGAGCAUUUGUUAGGUAGGUCUUAAACGAGAAGUUGACUCAAGUCAAGAUUCACUGCGUGCAUAACACUUUAAACAAUGCCAACAGGGAGGGAGAUAUUUUUCGUACACAAGAGUUUUACUGUCCGAAGGUCACAUUUCUACGAUCCCAAGAAAACAGCGAUGAGAAGAACAAUACAGACACAAAACAUUUGAACACUUAACUUCCCACGUCACAUAAUGAGCAGCCAAAAUGUCAUAACACAACAGAAUGGACACUAAGAUUAUUGAAACAAAACAUAGCUUCUUAAACAAAAGACAACCAGACAAGAGAAAGGUCGACAAUUUCUUCACCAUCAUCCUCAUAACUUAUUGUUGUACCAGUAAACACCUUUCUUGUCACCUUCCCUGUCCGGUUCUACGUAGAUACACUCCUUUGCCUCCCUAUACAUCGCCACAUACCACGGUGUUCCAUCGAACUGGUAAUAGUCUCCCAGUAUUGGCUUUAUCGCCUUUGUAGCUUCCAUUGCGUUAUAAUGCGGCAUUGUCGAGAACAGGUGAUGUGCCACGUGUGUGUCUGUAAUGUUGUGGAACACCUUGUUCAAGAUUCCAUAGUCUCUGUCUACGGUAGCCAAAGCUCCCCUGAGCCAGUCCCACUCUGAUGAAUCGUAGUGAGGCAAGGAGGGGUGAGUGUGCUGCAAGUAAGUGAUCAAGACGAGGAACGCAUUCACUAUCAGAAGCGGUACUCCGUAGAGGCAGAUCAUAGAGGCCAUUCCUUGUGCAGCGGCGUAACGGUAAAGACCAAAACAGACGGCUAGAAUACCCGCAUCCGAGAGGUAUAUCUGGAGGCGUUCGCGGUCAUUGUAGAUGGGAGCGUUGGGGAAGAAAUGGCAAGCGAACCCGUCAUACGGUCUGCCCGAAACGUUAAAGGCUAAGUACAAGGGCCACCCGAGGACAAACUGGACGGUUAACAUCAUGAUGCGUCCAAGAGGGUUGUUGAGGUAUUUGCCGUACCACUUGAUUGCGGAUUUCUGUUUUGGGACAAAUACUUCAUCUCUUUCGAGGGAUCCCGUGUUGGAAUGGUGACGGCGAUGACUAUACUUCCAGGAGAAGUAAGGGACGAGGAGGAAGGAAUGGAAGAUAAGACCGACUGUGUCAUCCAGCCAUUGGUAGUCGCUGAAUGCGUGGUGACCGCAUUCGUGGGCUAUGACCCAGACACCAGUUAGGACACAGCCUUGACAGGCCCAAUAGAGUGGCCAAGCCAAGUAAGAGAGAGGCUGAGGUAGGAGAGAGAAGUAAUUGGUGGCAACGUAGUAGAAGCAUGAGGCAAUUAUGAUGUCACCGAUAAGGUAGGAGAAAGAGCGAGGGAUUGAGCGUUUGAAACAAUGCUGGGGGAUUGCUUUCUUCAGAUCUCCCACCGAGAAAGGCGGUUUCUCGCACGGCACACGCUUUAUGGUGUCGGUUUCCGAUUUCUUGGAAGAAGUAGGAACCGGCAUUCUUCCACCUGCACCCAUGUUUCUGCAGAAAACAAAAAAAACAAGAGCAAAAAUAAUCAAGAAGCUGAAAACUCAAAGACUAGAGAAUAGUCAAUCUAAAAGACUUGUUUAUCAUUAACUGACAAUUUCUACAAAUCAAUGCAUGCAUAGGAAACAAGUGGGUAAAGAUAAAAUCAGCAAACAAUUAUUGUUCAGACAAAUGAUCUAAAGUGGAGAUGAGUCUGUGAAAGAGAUUGCCACAAAUGGAAAGUGCGUGGACCAAAAGGAAUAAAGAGUAGAGAAGCGGCGUAAUGUAAGAACACACAAAAACGAUUGCGUUGAAAAUACGAUUUAAAUAAGACAGGUCACAUCUCUUGCUUGAGGGUUAUCAUCAGAUUCUUGUAAUAAAAAUUCAACAGUCAAAAUCACAACAAAUCUUAUUGAAUACCAAGUGGACAAACAAAGCCAAAAGGAAACAGUUGAAGUGAUGUAUAAGCCACCGGAAUUAGUCGCCAUCAUAUAUCAGCAGAAUUAUAAAUUUAAACAGAAAAUAAUAUGUCACGGAUCUAUAGCAAAUUUUCAUGCAACUCUAAUUGCAUCUGAAUCAAUGAAAGAGCAUCUGAUCCUGAAUAACCCUGAUUCCAACUUUAUUUGAAAUGUUUAAGUGAAUCAAUAAAACUUUUUUCCCUUUUCUUACGUAUUUUUUAUUAUAAAAAAACAAUAGGAGGUAUAGGAAAAAAAACCCAGCAAAGAUUCAACAAUAGAAGCAGAUUUUAACCCAGAAAAAUUAGUCAAAAUUGAAUACAUUAACGAGACCAGGACAAAUUUAAAAAAUUUCCACCAACCCACCAGAAAAUAAAAUAAAAUAAAGAUCUAAACAGAUUGGUCAAAGCACGAAAAAAAAAAGAAAAGAAAAACAAAAAUCAUGCAACAAAUCGUUACGGGGACGAUAGACAUUUAUCAUUGUAUGAAUGAGAGAGUCAUUAUUAUUAUUAAUGGUGACUAAACACGAUCAACAUCAGAUUUCUCGACCAAAACAAAAAAAAAAAAAGAUAGAAACAGAGAAUCGGAGACCAGAUCUAAGGUUGAAUGUAAGGACUACAAGCAGAUCUAUCGUUAGAGGGGACAAAAAAACACAGACCACCAGGAGAAACUGGAAAGAAGUAAGAAUCGAAAAUGAGAAAAGAAGGGACGGACCUGGAGUUUGAGCUGACGUAGGGAGAUAACGUUAAUAACGAUGAACACCCUACGAAGAAGAAGCUCCUCCGCAGAAUCUCUCUCUCUCUCUUUUCUCUCUUCUCUCUCUCUUUUUAUUUAAUUUGUGAGUGUGUGGCUCUUCUUCUGGUGGUCAGAUGCGAAUAGGAAGAGACAGGCCUUUAAAUGGACACGGCCCGUGGGUUGAAGAAGGUAGAGAGAGAUUGUUUCAUGACACCUUUCCCUUUCAUACUGGGCCCCCUCUCUUAUUUCCCUUUUCUCUAUUCAAAAAUAUCUGAUUUUUUUUUAUUUUCCGCAAAUAACUCUUUUUUUACGAGACAAAAAAAAAUACAAAGAAAUUAGCAGUGAACAUAAACUUUUUAAUAUCACGUUCUAAUUUAAUUAAUUUUAAAAAUGGCUAAUUGGUAGUCAAAGAAAGCAAAAAAAAUUCUACAUAUUCUCUUCGUAUAGUAGUUUUUGACAUAAAUGUAAGUAAAUUUGUAUUGACUUAAUGUCUUCCCUUAUUUUUUCUCUUAUUCUAAAGUUUCAUCCUAAUUUUUGAUAUGAGCUUUUAAUGCUUCCAUUUGCAGCUGCCAGCUGAUACUCCAAGUUUGGGUCUUUGGUCUAUUUCUAACAGAGUUUCACUUUAGAACAUUUGUUAUAGGUGAUACUCAUAAAAUAUCUUUAAGAAUUUUUUAGUAUUAUUUAUUAUGUUUAUUUAUUGUUUGAGAUUUUUUUAUGAUACUCUUACUAAAUAUGUUUUUAUUGGUGAGACCGGUUUAAAUAUCAUUAAAAAAAAAUUAUUUGCAGAAUCAAAAAUAAAUAUAUAAAACAUAGGAUUACAAAAUGUAAUACUCUCUCCGUUUCACAAAGAGUGUCAUUUUGACGCAUUUCACAUAAAUUAAGAAAACAUUAAAUUAUACAUAUAUGCCCUAUUUAAUAAGUGAUUAAUGAUUUAAAUUUAAUGAGAAAUAGCUUUAAGUUAAGGGUAAAUCAGGAAAUUUUGUGUAAAACUCACAUUGAAAAUGUGGAAUGACACUCUUUGUGAAACAAGAAUCAAACUCUAGAAUGACACUCUUUAUGAAACAGAGGGAGUAUUACAAUAAAAAAACCGUAGAAUAUACUUAUGCAAAAUAAACAUAAAAUUUAAAAAAAAACUUAAAAAAACAUGAUGAUAAAAAUAAUUUAGUCGCUUGAAGCCAAUUAUGAAUAUAUAUAUUUUUUCUGUUUUCAGGGAAAAACGUGUUUCUCAGACUAAUCAGCUGCCGCCACGUCACCUGAUACUGGGUAUCAGAAGUAUCACUCCAGUUAUACUAAUCAGGCCCAAUUUGAUACUCUGAUCUAUUAAAAAAUUAUUAAUAAGCUCCUGAUACUCUUAUUAUAUCAGCUACGCACAUGGUUUUAUAGUCGGUAAGUUACUCCGUAUAUUAAUUUAUUAUCUCCUCUAGUAUAGUAUGGACUGAAACUCAAACUAAUCUCUAAAAUAUGUAGAAAUACCGAAUAUUUUUGUUGUUUAUCACCAAAUAAUAAUGAAUUUAGAAUCAUAUGAAAAUAAAGAAUCGUAAGUGAUGUGAACCAAACCAUGGUCUCAAUACACAUGGCAAAUCUUUCACCAUUAUAACUUAACCAUUUGCAACUUGGUUGGGUGGAGCUUUUUCAUACUUAAGUUUCAUCUCUAUUACUAUUAGUUUUGCUUAUUGCAGACAAUUUAUUUAAAAUGAGGAAACGUCCUCGGCGACUUACACAAGUCGUAAGCAAGUGGUAGGCGGGAAAAGGGCUAAAAGUGGAAAACAGACUUUUACGUUUGGCUUCAUCUGUCAUGUGAAACAUUAAAAAAUCUACAGACAAUGUGUUGUGGUGGACUGGUGGUCACGUGUAUGGAUGGAUACCCAGACGUGAUGCACUUUGGUAGAUUCGUGCGGAUUUUCUCUUGUUAAUGUAUUCAAUUGUAUUCUUUUUAUUACUAAUAAUCAAAUUAGGUGGCUGACGGAAAAAACAAGUAGGCGCUGACAAGUAAUCCCAAUUAAUUAAAUGGGAUGAUUAAAGUCUCUUUGCAUUGGAGUUCUAGUUUUCUAAGCAUUACCGCUUAUAACGAUACAGCUUAAUUUCAAUAUUUUUAAGAUCAUCCGUCACCAACCAUUAUUUUGUUCUUUUCCUUCUAUCAAUGACGGAACCGUUUUUAACAAGAAACACUUUCAUUAAACACUUUCAGUGUUAUUUGAUGUCAAUUCAAACAAUUAGCUAAGACUCUUAACAUAUUCAGAAAAUCUUAUGAAAAUUAUAUAAGUGACUCACAUAUGACAUAAACGGAGACAACAAGAAUAUGAAUAAAAGGCGUCAUACAAUCCUAACCACUGUUUCUAAGUUUGUCAAUCAUUUCUCUUCAAGCCUCCCAUCUGAAUUCAAACUCGAAACUAAACUAUAAAAAAAAAAAAAACACCAAAUAGAAAAAACUUAAAAUGAUAAUGAAACUAACAUUGUAUUCUCUCAUAACCAACAAAACAAAGUAGGUGAAGAUGAUAUCAGAUAUCACCACCACUAAAGAAGUAACUAGUUUUGCCAGCAAAUUCUCCACCUGCAAGCAACAACUAGGCGAUUGACCUGCGUAGCUCUGCUUCCCCAUGAGCAAAGUGACAUCUAUCACCAAAUGUACAGUUUCCUUUAGAGUAUCUCUCACAUAUCUUAGUCUUAAAGUUGCUCCCUGGAUGCGGUUUCCCUUCAGAACCCAUGCCACCACCACCAAGACCGCCAGGUGGUUUCUUAGCUGCUGAAUUAAGCCUCCCAAUCAAUUCUCUUACCAUUGCACUCGCUUCGUUUAUCUGCUCAAAUGUUCCUUCAAGCUCAAUGUUCUUCAAGUUUGGGUCUCUCUCGUGAUCUUGAAUUGAUAACUUUGCCCCCGUCUGACGACAUAUCUGCUUUGAACUGACUCCACCUUUUCCAAUGAUUGCACCGGCUAAAGAGGCAUCAACACUAAUUUUGGCAGUGGCUGAGGCACCAAAGCUAGAGACAUGGCCAGGCCCAGACUCCCCCCUCCCUGAGAAUCGGCCUCCAUUACCAGAACCUUGCAUGUUUCUGGAAACUUGAGGCAUGGGUGGUCCCAUAUUUGUCAUCUGCGCUACAGCAUUGUAUCCUCCGGGAACAUAAUGCAGGAAAUGACAAUUCUCUCCAAAAGGACAGCCAGAAGUGCUGCAAUAGAAGCAUAAUACAUCAGAGAUUUAAACCCAAUGGGAAUACAAUAGCACAAGAACAGACCAUUAAGACACAGAAGAAAUGGCAUAUUGAUCCAAGUAUAACUGCAAUGUUCAUUGCUAUGAGAGAAUAAACAUAUUAUUCCUGUUCCGAUUACUAUGCAGGACAAGUUCACUAGCAAUGCAAGAACUUUACCUGACCAUAAAUGACUAUAUUAUAAACCCAAAAUCACUAAUACCCUACAACCAAAUAGAAGAGCAUAACACCUUUCUCAACAACUCUUAUAGCUCAAAAAAAAUACAUGAUUUGUUUUUUUGUAUGUUAUAAUCACCAGUUGAACUAAAUGUUUCUCAAAUUAUGAUCCAGAUACGAUUAUAUGUUCGUAGUAGGCGUCACAUUUACAGAUUGAAACUUGUUUACAUACCUGUAUAACAACUAACCACUUCAUUAGCAUACAGUAUUAUUUGUUAAUUUCGGGAUCAGACUUGCAGGUAGAUAACAAUUAGCAUAUUAAUUCAUUAAGUAAAAGGAUUAUAACCUGAAAAAUUUUGUGCAUGGCUUCGAUUUGCUUCCUAAACCAGUUGAAUAUGAUUCCAUCUCUGUUCCAAACAUUAAGUGUUUUACUUUAGUUAAAAACUUAUCUGAAGUUCAAUAUAUUGCUUUUAGAAUCCAAUAUAUCAUUCAUACAUUCAUCUAUAUGAAACUUUCAAAUCAAAAGAUGCAUAAUUUUUUGAAUGUUUUCAGGAUCACUAACCAACUGGACACAAAAACACUUGACAGAGGAAAAAGGCUUAUUCAAUCAAGAAAACCGAAUCUUUUGGAAUGGUUAUGAACUGUUAUUAGCUUAUACUUGAAAAGAGGGAUUAACGGAAAGCAAUACUAAAAACUCAAGAGACAGUGAAAGAUUUAAGCCUGAGACCAACAAUCCCUGCAAUUAACUAUAGUAACAACUUAGCAAAAGCCGAUCCAUCAUCACUCAAUUUAGAUUUAAUCAGAUAAAAAGGCCAGUACUUUUUGCAGUUAUCUAGCUAAUUAACCAGAUAAGUAAGCAAGCAGGACACGAAAUCACCAAAAGAAAGCACUGAGAACGAAAGAAGAAAAUUUUGCCUCCUAGUAAAUCUCAUAACUAGCAACAAAAAAAAUCCUAAUUUUACCCAGAACUGAAGAUCUCAAAUUUAAACCUUUAUCAGAGCCAGUGAAGCAUAAGAACUAAACAGAUCGUAGUAACAUAAUUCUAGUAGAUAAAGAGUAAAGGAAGCAAGAAACAGUGAAAGAACUAACCUUGCUUAGACUUCUUGUAUCCGCCGCCAUUGGAGUUGAAUGAGCCAACUUCAGGCCGUCCUCUCUUACGAGUAUCCAUGAUUAAGUACAGAUCCGAUUCGAAAGAAGAAAUCAAAAACCUUAUAGUCUAGAGAGCGAAUGAAAAGCGAAUCGGAGAAGACAAAUCGAAAUCGGAAUAGGGGAAAAGAGUUAGAGAGAGAGAAUAAGCGAGAAAAUAAACCUAACCCUAACUAAGGUGGUUGUCGUCGAGGGAAAAAGAUGAGAUUUUCCUUUUUUUGUUUACUCUUCCCGGUUUUUUUAAUUGGAAAUUUAAACCGGAUUGGCCCAAUGCACAAACUAAAAUGUAAACCGAAAUUUCCCUGAAAAGGAUAGAAAACCGGAAUUGUAAGAUUUAACUUAACGUGAGCCGUUAAAUAAGCGAUGCGCCAGUUACGAUAAGCUUAAAUGUAUAAUGACGUCAUGUUUGCCUUAUUUGAUCUCUUUGUACCGUCAACAAAAUGAACCUUUUACCAGCCCAAUAAACUCGGCCCACAACUUCUUUCAAUGGCACAAAGCCACAAACUUUCAAUUCAAAGUGUAUUUUCAAAAAUCAUAUGAUAAUUCUAAGGCCUCUAUGAAAUUGCAACCAAUAAAAAUGUAAGUUAAAAAUAUUCGGGAUUUGUGGAUGAUUGGGCUUUUGUUUUUAAUAUAUUUACCCAAUCACACUAAGAAAAAUGUGAAAUAGGAAAAAUUAAUAACCAAGAGACUCAAAAGCUUAAAGCUGAUAGACAUUCUUGAAUGACUCCAUGAGUAUUCCCUACAACUACAAGAACCAAAAAAACUAAGGCUAUUAAUAUCCGCACCGGUUGAAUCUUGCGGAAUGCAACAGGUUGGUCCUUGUGAGCCUCCCUAACAUGUUCCUUGGCCAUCACAAAAUCAUCUUCUUCAUCCUCAUGAGCCUUCUUGAUUCCUUCUUCAUCUUCCAACUCCUUAAGCUUAAACAAAACGUUUGAAUCAACCAACAAGUCGGAAACAUUAUGAUCAUCAUCAUCAAGAUCAGUUUGAGGAAUUAUUUCGUCUUCUUGACAAGCCAAAAUGUAUUUGUUGUUCAACCCCUCAGCUAUGCAACUCAAUCUUUCUCUUCGAUCUAAUAGCCUUUCGCACGCAGUGUUCUUCACAGACAUUACACCCUCUUCCGUCCUCAUAUUGCUAAUCCUCAAAAACGUUUCUUCUUCUUUGUCUUCAUAUCCUCCCAUUCCACUAGUCAUCUCUUCAAUCAGUUUCCAAUCUUGUUCUCGUAUUUGUAUCAAACAAGUCUCCUCGCAGACAACUACCAAUGGUUUAUUCAUAAACAGAGACUUUAGACUAUAGAAAAGAACAGCCUGAUGUGCAACGCUGUAACCGCACGAACCCGAAGCAUCCACAAAGAAUAAAACAAGAGCAGCUCGAAGAUGACGAGUCAAUGCGGCUAUAACAUUGCCGUCUCCAAAUGUAGGCCUAUCCAAAAUCUCAAUCACUUGGUACCUCAAAUCCUUGUACUCAGUAUGACCAACAACAAAAUUCACUAGCGAUGAUUUAGUGGUGUAAUCAUCACUAGCUCCGGUGUUGAUUCUGUUCAUAAAACAAGUCUUGUCCACAUUAGGGUACCCACAAACCAAGAGAGUUGGAGUGUUUAUGUCAAUCCAAGGAAGCCUUACCAUGUGUUGUCUGAUCUGCUCUAGAUAAGCCAAACUAGGAGUGAUUUCGUUUAUAACACUAAACAUUUGUCCAAUAGCACUCGUUUUUAGGACUUUGCAUUGCUUUAAAGAUUCACCAAACUCGAGUUGCGUUACAUAAUCAUUAGAUAUAUCGGUAAUCAUGUGUCUAGCAGUAUUCACUUGACCUAGACACAACUUGUAGUGAUCUCUAUCGAAACUCAAGCGAAGAAGGUCAUUGUAUA
Molecule: long non-coding RNA, 52464 nt
Filed under: Arabidopsis lyrata
Lineage: Eukaryota; Viridiplantae; Streptophyta; Magnoliopsida; Brassicales; Brassicaceae
Description: long non-coding RNA (ALYR_LNC002283)
Source: RNAcentral